CACAUCAUCCUUGAAAGAGGGAUGUGAAGACCAAAGCAAUGAUAGACAAUUAAGUGUGUAGUUGGUUAAAUUUUCACUAUCUUAGAAUUAAGGUGAUUGUGAAGUUAACUAUACCAUGGGAAUUACCUAGAAAGAGGGAUGCCUGAAUUGAGGAUUGGUUACCAAAUAUUAAACACACCCAUUACUCAUUUGAAAGAAUCAAUGGGUGAAUGUUUGAUGUUUUGUUGAAAAACAAGCAUCAAAAUCUAUUAUCAAACCUACCCAUAUUUGAUUUAAUAACUUAAUGUUGAUUAUUAACACUCACAUGUGUUUCCCUUAGUAAUGCAUAAUCCCAUGAUCCGUGCAUAAUUGUUCAAACUGUAAUUAUUAGUAACCCUAAAUUUAUACUAGAAAAACCCUAAAAAAUAAACAUUAGUAUUGAUACUUGUAUCCCCUAUUUUUUUCCUCGUGUACCACUGAAUUGAAUUUUACUUGUAUCUAUUAUUUUGAAUUAACUUGAUUACCACUCACAUUGUUCCUCGUGGAUUCUACCCUGACUCCAAAGUUGGGUAAAUAUAUUGAUGACUACUACCUUCCACUUUAAUUGACUAGUAAGUUGAGUGUUAUCACAAUGACCGGAUCUCUUACCAUUGUAGAAACAGAAAAUGAAUCCAAAAUAAUCUUUGGAUAAAAACUAAAUGACACAUCUAUAUAAGGAGUCAUUUAGGAAAGGGUAGAUCCCAAAUCAAUUAACAAAUAUACGUUAUGAUAGAAACAUUGUAAUUUAGCAGUAACAACAUCAGGCGAUGCUGGACAGUAACCAAAGCAUAUACUACACCACCGGCUAUAGGAACAGAAGAUGAAUCCACCAAUAUCUUAGUCGCCCUCAUAGCAACCUUGUUAGAAAGAUAAUGCCUGAGUUGAUGGCCUAAUUGGACAGACUUGAAGAAAUUAUCCCUUUCCUCCUCACAAAAUCUUUGGUGAAAAUGAAGGCAAAACUAACAAGGAGGACACGAAGAAAUAGACUGACCUCUGAUUGUCUGAGACUGGUAUCCCUGCGCCUAAGAAUUGCAACCACCAUGAAGAUGCCUGUCACUCGACUGCUGGGGGUAAGGAGCACUGGUAGAAGAGAAAGAACCAUAACUCCCCCACUUAUUUUUAUACAACUUCCCACCGUAUCGACCACCCUAAGACUGGGCACCUCUUUGAUUAGAAAAUCUGCCCCUCCUACCAUGUCUUUCUCUAUAUUAUGCCUGCCUUCUCUUAUUAUCCUCAACCUGCUGCAUACGAAUAGUCAGCCUCGACAUGUCUAUAUCCUUCAUGAGAAAAAUGGUUUUGCUCUCCAAAAUUAGAUCCCUGUUCAGCCUAGAAGUAAACUUCCCCAUUCUUGACCUCAUAUUAGCCACCAAAUCCGGAGCAUACCUCGACAAUAAAUGGAACUUCAAAAUAUACUCCUUCACAAAUAUUCUCUCUUUCCUUAGGUUCAUAAACUCCUCCAUAAUAUCUUCCUUCAACUCUUGAGGAAAGAAUCGAUCCAUGAAGGUAUUAGAAAAGACCUCCCAUAAACCAUCCUCUUCUACAUCGCCCUUAACUCUGUCCCACUUGACGUACCAUAGAUAAGCAACCUCUUUGAGCUGAUAAGCUACAAAUUUAACUUCUUCCACAUUAGUAGCCUUCUUUACCUAAAAGAUGUUCUAAAUAUCAUCAAGAAAGCCUUGUGGGUCUUCCUCCACCUUCACUCUCAUAAAAUUUAGAGGACCCAUAUUCAUAAAUUUUCAAGCCUAGAGGCCACAAUAGACAUGACACUAGUCGUACCCUGCUUGGACUGAGCAACAACCAGUUGGGAAAUAACAUACAUAGACUGACAAAACUCUGCAUUGAUCACGUAUCCCUGAGGGACCAAAGGAGAAAUAGAAGGAAUAGAAGGAACUCCGUUAUAAUAAAGAAUACGAUCAUGAGAUCAAGGAUCAACCCCAGGAGUAAAACAUGCUCCCUCAGCAUCACUUUCAGAAGGAGCAGAAGAAUUUCCUUGUGCUCUAGAUCUUAGAGGCAUGAUCUAAAAGAUGAACAAACAAGGAUUAGAGGAUAUUCUAGGAUUGAGAAGUCAAGCUUGAAGAAAGAAUACCAAGAAAGUGAAACAUUCCAAAAUGUCUCGUAGCCUUUCCCUUAUGAGUGUGGUGUGCUACACACCCCUAAAUAAGACUCUACUCCACACAGCUUUAUGGACUCUCAAUUGACAAUGAACUUAGGUUUUGAUAUCAACUUGAUGCAUCCCAAAUGAAGGCCUUCUCAUAAUGGGUAUCCCAUGUCCAACCAGGACCGGGGACCGACCCCUUAACCAAACCCUACCACCAUAUAUAGCCUUGGAAGAGCUGAAUUUAGAGCAUAUAACAAGGUUACCUAAUGCUCUCAUGAAGUCUCUAGAGAGGGUCACAACUAUGACCGAUCCGCCCGAGUCUAACCAUACCAAACCAACCAUCGAUACCUUAUCAAAUCAUUUGGAAAAUAUCAAACAUACUAUGAUUAUCAAACACAAAAUGUAAUAUGACGGAACAACCAACAAUACCAUCCAAUGAUGUAAGAACCAAUACCAAUGCCAGUGAUAACGCCGACACUAAUACCGAUCCUACCCAUACCAACCCUAUGAAGUACCAUAAAGAGUCUAUCCAAAAAAAUACAAAUAUCUGGUUGGGACAUGCCUCCAACCAUGGCCAAAACCAAUAUUCAAAAAGAAAGUAAAAUUUCUAAGAAUAUCCAACAUAAAAUGAUGCCUUUCGAAAGGAUGGAAGCUCACCACUUCAUUCUAAUAAGUUGUCCCCAAAUUAAGUACUUUGAAAGGGUAGUUGAACAACCAGUUCUUGUAUAACGUAGGUAUAUGUCUGCCAGUAGAUAGGUUAGUGGGUGAACACUAGCAUGAAACAUAUGGAUAAGGAUAAAGUAACAUCAUUUAUGAAAACCAAGUGAAAACCAUUAAUUACAACAGCCAUACCUAUAUAAAAGUGCUCGGAAAAGGGACUAGGUUUAGUAUGCCAUUAAAACAAUACCUAGGUUGUGUAGCUUAGCUGUCCUACCACCCAUGGGCCAUAUGGGUUCAGCUCCCCAUACUAAAAGGGUUCUAGUCCGUUUAGCUGCAUAGAUGUCUAGUACAUCCCUCUAAUAUAAAUUUUACACUCACACGUGGCAAUUAAAGAACCUUCAUAUCGGUAAAUAUGAGUUUUGGGUUUUGAUCCCCCCAGGACAGCUACCUUCCAUGGCUUAGCUUACACUCCCCACCAUUAAUGCCCAAUUAAAACCAUUAAAAAACAAUCCAAUUAUCCAUUUACUAACCAAGGAUAUUCAAUAAACCAGUGGUAUCAUCAUACCACUAUACUUGUAAGCAUCAUCCAUAGCCAAACCAUUUAGAUUAAGGGGACAUUCAAGUGCCCUGUCACUAGCCAUAUUAAACCUCUUAGAAGACAACUAUAUUCUCUACAAGCACGACCAAUUAGCCAUUAAUGUUUGUAAACCCAUGAAAAACAUUUAUGGUUUUAUAUAUAAGAUGAAAUACAAGAAAGAGUUCCAUUAAAAUAAGUCAAUGCACUAAACAUAUCUUUCUAAGCUCUUUAUCAAACACCUUAGGGUAUAAUAUAACCAAAACAAAAUUCCAUUACCACUAAACUAUUACCAUGCAAUUCUGGUAAGUGGUGGAAUUUCUAGAAUUCCCCCACUUAAAUCCCAUAAAAACCCAAAAUGAGAUCACAACUGACCCACUUAUGAGUCAUAACCUCUCUUACAGUUGAUACCCAACCGAUUAUAACUAAGCCUGAACCAUGGAUCAGAUAAUGUCUAGUAUAUGAUUCAUAUACCUAAGUUGUAACCUCAAUAUAUGAUCCUGUAUCCCUGGAAGAAUGUAACACCAGAAGGAUCAAACACUGUCUUCCUUAUGAGUCACCUAUAUGAAUCAUACCCAAUAAUACAACACUCAUCCCUAAGUCAUAUCCAUUCCAAUGAUCUAAACCAUUCCACUAACUAACACUGGUUAAUUUCCAAUAGGACUUCACUACUCGUACCCUAGUAUAAGGCUCGUACCAUAAGUCAUAUUAGGUCUGAAGAAUGGGAUUCUAAGAAAUUUUCUAUGGUUCCAAUCCCGGGAUGCUUCAACCAUAAUUGUCAUUAUUGGCCAGACAUGAACCAAAAUUAAUAUUAUCAAUAUUGUCAUCAACUAUUGGACUCAAACUAGAACUCAUGUUAUAAACCGUAACAACAAACCAUAUCAACAAGGCAUAUUGAUAACUAACUUAAUAGACAAUACCAAUAAACUAUAACUAUAGACCAUCCCUAUUACAUAUACCUAUACGUCAGACUAAUAAUUACAACCAUAAGUCAUAUCGAUUCCUACACUCAUAAACAACACUAAUACCUCAUCAAUUAAAUCGUGACAACAACUAUGCUCAUAAGUAAUGUGAAUAGUCAUAUUCAUAUGUUUUUCAAAAUUCAAAUUUAUAAUCCAUUAAUCAUAUCUCUAAGCAAUUAUCUUAUUGGUAAUCCAUUAAUCAUAUCUAUAAACCAUAUCAUUAAUCGCAUCGAUAUGUAUAUUAUUAAGCAUGUUAGGCCAUAUCAUUAAUCAUAUUUAGAAGCUAAUCAAUAAUCGUAUAUAUAGGACAUAUCAUAAGUCAUAUGUACGAGUAAUAUCAUUAGUGUAUAUAAGAAACAUCAAUUGUAAUACCCCAAAAUUAGCAUCAAUCUCUCAGCAUCCAACUAACAUACUCAUUCAAUAUAUUCAAUCUCCUUUAGUCCAAAACUAACAUCAAUAAGGACAUAUCAUGCAUAAAUUAUUCUAUAAAAGCUAACACAAGUCUUGGCCUAAGGUGGGCCAGAAAGGCCCAUUUCUAAUCCCCAAAAUCAAUUUUAAACAACUUCUCUCCCAGAGUAGGCUAAGGUAUCUAAAUUCAUUUUUUUAUGUUAAAUAAGCCAUAUAUUGCCCAAGGAUAGUAAUUCUUCCCAAAAGAUAAAAACUAAGUCAAUCCCACCUAAAAUAAUAGUAACUAGGGCAAUUUCCCUAAAUUUAAGCAACUAAGGACAAUUUUACCUAAAACAAGAGUAACUAAGCUAAUUACUCCUAAUUUACAAUUUUAAGAUAACCGAAAUAGUUCAACUAAUCCAAAUAUUCUCAAUCAAUUUCCAAAACCUAUAACCAACCCUAAAUCUAGCAUAAGAUUAUAAUCAUACUAUGAGAUAGCUCAAUCUAUGAAAACUGUAAACCUAGCCUACCUCGACGCUGAAGAAAAACCCAAAGAAUUUGCUAAAUCAUAAUUUUCCUUUUUAAGAAGCUUUCACAAGGUGCCACACUAUCAAAAUAUCAAUCUACUCAUCACUAUAAGAACAAUAAAACCCAUAUUUCACUAUUGUGCUUCUAGUCCAAAACUACAUAAAAAUCCCAUAUAGGGACCUUUUAUGAAAUUUCACUUUCAAAACAAGCACAAUGGCCAUCUAUGCUCAAGGAACAUUUAUCCUCAAAAAUGGGUGAAUUUAGAGCUUUAAUGGUUAUAAUUUAAGCCACCAAGAUUCUAGGGAUCAUACAAAAAGAUAAAAUGGUUUAAUCCCAAAAUAGAUGGAAGCUUGCCAUAAAUAUGAAGGAGGAACAUGUAAAUAAUCUAUACCCAAACUCCAAAUCACCCACAAACGUUUGUCCUAAGUUCCCAUAUAGUUUAGGGUUUUACUCUCAUGAGAGUGGGAGAAUAAUGGUGAAAAUUGAGCUAAGUGGGGUAGUUAGAUCCUUUUUAAGUGUAUGGAUGCCGUGAAUGCAGACAAUGGGAUGCUUUAGCAAUUGGUGCUAAAGGACCUAGUUUACUGCUAAAGAGGUCCCCCUGACAUGGUAGCCCUCUAAAGUUGACCUUGGGCUACUUUAGUGCUAGACGUUAAAGUGAUCUGGUACCGCUAAAACGGUAACCAUUAGCUAAGCUAGGGCCACUAAAGUGCCCAAUGGGCCACAAAAUGACCAAUGGGCCACUAAAGCACCCAAAAGACCAGUAAAGUAGUCACACCAAAUAUCAAGCACCAGUUAGAGACUUAGAAUUAUUUUGAGUCUCUGCAAACCCCUCUAGAUUUAUCUAAAAUCUCGCUUACGUAAACAAAAUAUUAUACCCUAUCAAAUUUGAUGUUCCAGACUCAAUGGAAGAAUAAAAAUUUCUUCUUGAGGUUGUUUCUAUGAAAAGCAGACCCACACCCACUUUUUAUUUUUCUUAACUUCCGACCAAUAACCUAAAAUAUGUCUGAAUCCUAGUGACUGGAAAUAAGGGUCCACCAAAUAUAAAAUUGAUGCUCUGAAGAUUUUCAAACUGUUAGAAUUAGCAUACAAGGUCAUUUAUAUAAUGAACCUUUAGGUUAUUUUUCAUAUUUCUUCUUAUUUUUGUUGUUAGCGAUUCUCUAUAUCUGCCCCAUGUCAUCUAUGACUUGAAGGGACUGACAGUACGAUUAGCAUAUAGUUUGUUUUGUUUUUAGAGCUAUUUUUCAAUUUUGAAGUCUUCGAUUGUUCCAAAAUACCACUAGGAAAAAAUUUUAGUCAAACAACCUUGAAUACAAAUUUAAAUGUUCCAUCUAUGUGGACCUUUGGUUCGGCUCCCGAGGUACCCGAUCUCAAUUUGACCUAUUGAUCAAAAAGUUAAGAAAUUGGAAAUUAGGUGUGGGACCCAUAUUUCAUUGAAACUACCUUAGAUGGAAAUUUUGAUCGUACCUAGUAGAAUUCUAUUCUGGACUUAAAAAUGUUAGUACAUCAGGUAUCUGGUGUGAUUACGAUCAUGUAGGAUAAAUUGCUAUUGACAUAUAUAAUUUACCAUGUGUGCCACAUCGCUAUUAUGAAGGGUAAAUCACAAUUGCCAUAUACCAUUUCCCCUUUGCUAGUAUCACAAUCGUGAUAGGAAAUGCCAUGAUUGUAACUUUUUCUCCUGAUGCUAUGGAAUAUGAUUACGAGUUUCAGGUUUCGAUAGUGGCACCGAAGAACUUGGAUUGGGUAUAAAUACUUAUUUUACACCUUUUUUUCCAUUCCUUCAUCCGUUAUCUUGAGUCUAAAACCAUAAAGGGUGAGACAAAUUGAAAUUAAGGCUUGUGGGUGAUUUAGGAGUUUGGGUAACAGUUGUUUAUGCAAUUAUCUUCCAAUUAUGGUAAGGUUUCACCCUUUUCAUGGUGAAAUUUUCCAUUUUUUGUUCGAAAAUCCCAAAACCUUGGAGGGUUGAUUUUAUCCCCAAUUAGAUCAUAUUUCACCUAUUCUUAAGGGUAAUGAAUCCUUAACCUUGAGUAAAUAUUGGGUUGGUUUUGGAAUCAAGAUUUUCGUAAAUGGUACCCACAUGGGAUUUUUGGUGAUUUUUGGACCCAAACCCAAAUAGUGCAAUAUAUGUAUUAUUAUUCUAUUACUGGUAAGUAGAAUGAUAUUUUGAUAGUUUGACAUCUUGAGAAAGCUUUUUAAAUGGAAAAGUGGUGAUUUAGCGGAUCUUCUAAGCUUUCUGUGCCACCUAUGUAGGCUAGUUUUUAUCCCUUCUCAAAUUAAUCUAAUUCAUAGUAUGUUGAUUGUAUUGUGUUAGAUUUUGGAUGGGUUUUAGGUUUUGGUGUGACAAAUUUCAAUUUAUUGGUUAGUUGGACCAUUUAGGCUAUUUUAGAUAUUAUUUUGGGCAUAGUUAGCCUAUUUAGUCAUAUCAUAGGUGAAGUUGACUUUGUAGGCUCUUGUUUAUGAUAAAAAUAACUUAGUUUCUCUAUCAAUGAGUAAAUUGCCUUAGUCAUUUGAUUUUAGGAUGAAACUUACGAAAUUUCUAUUUACCUAGGUGAAAUUGAUAUAGUUGCUCUAUACUGUGAGGAAUUUCUGUCCUAAGGUUAGUUAGGACUUGUUCAACAUCUAAUAGUGAAUUUAGAUAUCUUAGCAAAGUACAGGGUAGAUAUUACUUGAUAAAGGCCUUUGGAGAGUUAGAAGUGGUCCAUUUCACUUAACUUAGGGCAAGACUUGUGAUAGUUAUUGAAGUCCAUUUAUACACUUUAGUAUAUCUAGGAAAUAUUUAUUGUAGUGACAUUUAGAUGCCUUGGUACUUGUAUGUUGUGAUAGAAGAUAUUAAAACUAAUGUUUAAUGAUUGUGCUAUGAGUGAGUUAUUGAUUAAGCUUAUGAUGGUCUGUUGAAUAUGUUAUUGUUUGAUCUAUUUAAUAAGCUAUUAAAUAAGACCUUGAUUAUGAAAUUGAUUAAGCCAUUGAUUAGGCUAUUGAUAAGUGAUAUGCUAUUGAUAAAGUUAGUGAUUAUAUUUAUUGAUUAUGCUACCAAUUGAUGAGUGGUGAUUUUACCACUCAUUUUUACUCAAUUUUCGUGCAACACUACAAGGUUUUGUAUAACUAUAUGAGACAUAAUCGUGAUUUAAUGCACUAAUAUCCAAAUUUUAAAGGCAUAGAGUUGGCAAUAAUAAAAGAUGUGGAUUAAAUCUAAAAGAGAUAAAGUGGAAGCAAAUAAGUGAAGCUGAAGACCUGGAGCAGUCAUCAGCCCCAGUUAACAUGAUUGAGGGCUAAAGGACGUGGUCACGGUCAGUCAAGAUAGUCAAUAUAAUGCGAUCACAAAACCAUACCAGGAUCGCAUUAGCUGCUAUCAUGGACAAACUCAUGCCAUCGCAGCUAAGCAAUAAUACUGCCUGGGAUAGUUUUUUAAUUUCACUUAGCCAAAUCCUAAACCUUAUGUAGGCAAAAACCCUUUCUUCUUUGGGUAUUGCUUACCUCAUAGAUAUUUUUGAAUUUGAAACAAGAACCCAAAUUGGGAAACAUUGUAAAUAAUUAUGGAGACUUGAAUUCUUAAUGUUUUAUGAAGAAAUGGAUGCUUUGGAUAAUCAUUAUAGUAUAUCUUUCUCUACUUUCUUCAUGAGUAGGUAAGUAAUUUAGUCUUGAGAUUAUCUUGAACUAAAGUGUAUUUGUUUGUGGGUAUUGAUGUGUUUACACGAUUUCUAGUUGUUGAGUAUGGAUUUCACCAUUGCUUGAGUUUAAUAGUUUGAAUUUUGCGGGUGAAAUCCUAAAUCUCCAAAUGGGAUUGACAGGUGAAAACCCUAAAAUCUAGAAACCUUCAUCAUCCUUAAAAGAGAGAUGUAGGUGAACCCAUGGGAGCCCAUAACAUCCUUUAAAAAGGUCUAUAAGUGUAAAAGGUAAUGGUGGAUAAUUAAGAAUAUGGUUUACUACCUUCUGCAAUCUGAGAAAUAAGUGUAAAUAAAGUGUAAGUCAUGACAUGGGCAUCUUCCUAGAAAUAGGGAUGGCUGGUUGAGGUAUUAGGUGACAAUGUAUGACCCACUGAUUAGGUGCUCAAAAGAGAUAAUUGGUGAAAUCUUUGAGGUUUAGUUGAAAAACUAGCAAAAAAGACUUUUGAUCUAGCCUAUCUCUCACUUAACAACUAGAUAUCAUGAUGAACCAUCUCUAACCUACACACUUUAUACAUUUAUGAAGACAUAAUCCCAAGAUUAUCCCCAAACUUGAUUUUCUCAUUAGAAGUAUCAUUUUAGCUUGUCAUAACUCAAUAAUUGAUACAAACCAAAUCCCCCCACUUUUACUAUAUGUUGUGUUUGCUUGCACUCUUGAUAUCCUUUUAGUAAUUAGAGCACCCAAAGGAAUCAAAAUUUGUAUUUUACUCCUUUUGGAUUCGACCCCAACACGAGUUGGGAUAUUGAAAAUGACCUCCUUACCCCUAAACAUGGGAGUACGUUGAGCGUUAUAAAAAUGGUGCCAUUUUUAGGGAGUGGAAUAUAGAUUUCACUUGUGCGGUAUGAUUUUUAUGUGGGCAUGCUCGGGUGGUGUGAUUUACUUUCUUUUUUGUUUUUGAUUUUUUUAUAUGUGAUCAUAGUGUUAAAGUAACAACAAGUGACAAUGCUGGUAACAUUGGGCCCUUUGAUGUUCCACUUGAUGACGAGGGACAAUUCAAUAAUGCGGGCCGAAUGAGUGCAAUCCAUAUCCCACCAACUAAUGGGAAUUAUGUUUUCCAUGUAAUUAGUGUUAUGUUACACAUGCUACAAAUGUAAGGGCUAUAUAGUGGUCAAGCAUAUGACCACCCCAAUGUUCACUUGAAGAAUUUUUUGGAGCUGUAUGCACUUUUCAAUAUCACACACAUCACUUAAGAGUCUAUUCAUCUUUUCAUUUCUUGUUCUCUUUAAUGUGCGAGGCGGUGUUGUGGCUCCAUUCACUCCCACCCAUUCAAUUACUACUUGGGAUGAGCUUACCAUGAUUUUUCUUAAUCGAUACUUCCUACUAUGAAAAUGCUCCUAAUGUGGGAUGAGAUCAUUAAUUUUAGGCAAUUGAGUGGGUAACCAUUGUUUAAAGUAGGGGAAAGAUUUAAAGAAAAAUUAGAGAAAUGUCAAAAAGACCAGGUCUCGUAGAAGAUGUUUCUCCAAAUCUUCAACCGAGCCCUCGAUCUAAUGAAUGAAACCAUGGUGGAUAACGUGGUGAGAGGUUCCCUAGUGAAGAUGCACUACUAUGAGACAAUUCAGUUAUUAGGAAAGGUGAUGGAGAAAAAUCAGGGUUGGCAUAUCUGAGAUAGCAAAUUUCCCAAAAUCUCUCCCUCUAUAUCCAUGAUUAACAAAGAACAAACAAAGCAGGAUGAGGCAAAAGAGGAGAAUAUGGAAAAAAGGAUGACACAACUUGUGCUCUUGAUAAAUCAUAUUAUAGGGGCACUCACGAAAGCAGUAAAAGCCCUAGAAUCUGAGUCCUAUGAGGAUGAUGAGGAGGCCAAAAGUUUGGAUGAAGUGCUAAAAUAUUUAGUAAACUAUUUAAGGGAUUCUCACCCUUCCUUUCAAAGUCGUGGUGGGAAUCAAGGUUGGAUGGACCAUGAGCGUGAUAGGGAUUGGUGGGAUAGAGAGAGUGUUUAUGACUGCUAUGCUCCCCCUCCCCCAAUGAUAGAGCUAAGAAUAAAGUUUCAAGCUCCAUUGACCCCAAAAAGUUCAAGACCAAGGAUGUUUCAUCACGAAUUUGUAAUAGGGUAGAAGGUACGAACAAGAUGGUCCAUAAAUUUAAAGGUGGAUUCUAUCAAAUCCCUCAAACUGUGGUGGCCCUCACUGCUUCUAUCAAGAAAUUGGACGUGUAAAUUUGGAAAAUCUCUAUGUAAUUAAAUGCUAGGUCUAGAGUUACAAUCCCUAGUGACAUGGUUUCUAAUCAAAAGAAUGAUGCUCAAGUUUUAGCAAUCGUCUCUAGAAGUAGAAAGACACUUGAUGAGCACUUGAAAAGUGACUCGAGUGGGAAAAUGCCUAAGACUAAUCCAAAGGAGGUGUUACCUCAAAAUCAAGAAGAAAAAGAUAAGAAAUAUGGAGAAGAAGUGGUUAAAGCUAAAAAUCCAUAGACUGAAAGAAGGCCUACAAUCAAAGUUCCUUCACCAUUCCCUCAAUGAUUCCAAAGAAAAGAGGAGGGUGAAAAGUUAAAAAAACUUCAUGUCCAAGCUUAGAAAUAUAUCCAUAAACACCAUUGCAUGAGGUGAUUCAAGAGAUCUAAAUAUAUACUAAGCUAAUGAAGAAAUUGAUGUAAAAAAAAAAGCUUAUCAAAGGUGACAGCAUUAAAGUCACCCAUCAUUGUAGUGUUAUCGUGGAUAGUAAGUUUGUUGAAAAGAAAGAUAAUCCAGGAUCUUUCACAAUAGAUCUUGGUGGAAUCAUCAACCUCAUCCCUUUUUCAUCUAUAAGAAGCUUGGUUUUAAUGCCCCUACCUCAACCUCUAUGUAACUUUUAAUGGCAGCCCAGUCUAUCAAAAGGACUGUGGGAAUUUUAUAUAAUGUCCUAGUUAAAGUGGACAAGUUUAUACUUUCGGCUAACUUCGUGGUCUUGGAUUUUGAAAUGGACCAAGAGGUACCUAUCAUCCUUAUUCAUCCCUUUUAGACACCAAAAGUGUCAUUGUCAACUUAGAAAUAGGAGACAUGAAGUUUAGGGUGCAAAAGGAGGAUGAAGUUUUUUUCCAGGUUUGUAAGAUGAAUAAUCAAUCCGUGGAGCUUCAUCUUGUGUCUGUGGUAGAUAUUGAGAUUGAGAAGGAAAAAUAAAGGGGGCUUGAGGACCCACCUUAAGAAUGAAAGAAGGGAAGACAUCGUUCUAUGACGUUAAAUAUGGCUCUGUGUAGGAGGCAACCCAUAAAUGCCAAGAAAGUGGAUCGUAUCCUUUCUUUAUAAUUUGUAGUUUAGGUUUUGAUAUUUUAAUAACUCAUGAAUUUGUGGAACUAUAGAGUGCAUUGUCUGAGCAUAAAAAAAAAGAAAGUGUUAAAUUUUAUUAUUAAAACUGAACAGGGGAAAUAACUCAAUCUGUGAAUUGAGAUAAAUUAGGGAAAAAGGGGAGUAAAAAUGCUCUUAGUUACCACAAUCGUGGGCCCAUGGUCUCGAUCACGAUCUCCCAUGUGCCUGUGUUCAUGGUUACUUAACCACCACCACAGUUCCUUCAAUAAUAUGGCUAGCCGAAUCCCCUAUUUUUCUUACACUCCUAUUUCAAAUCUUACUCUAUAAUUAGAAAAAAGUCUAGCAAAGUUUGUGAGCUCUCCACCAACAUCCUUGCAAUCCUCUUGCAUCACAAAUCUGGUAGGUGCCUUGAAUUCAUGCUUUGAUUUUAAAAGUAGGCCAAAGAAAGGAUGAUGUAUAAAGGGCCUAAGUCUUUAGUUCUCAUGUUUUGAUGUUUUCAAACUUGGCAUUUGUAUGUUUUUUAGAUGCUAAAUUAUUGUGUGAACACAAGUGGAGAAGUCUUGAGUACCUAAAAAUAUGUGUGAAAUGGUGGGUGCACACCAAGUGUUUGAUAUAUCGCCCAAAUAAGUAUUCAAUAAUGGUUAUUGCAUUUAAAAAGGCAUAAUCGAGCACCUAAUGGCUUUGUUCAUUGGUGUUAAUAUGAAUCCUUAUUGUAGAACAUACUAGUGGUCUAAAAAAUUUCAAAUAUUGAACAUGGAAAGCUGGUGGUAACUAGUGUUAGUUACUAUGAUCGCGGUAAUUGGACUGUGAUUGUGUCAGCAUUAAUGUGGUUAUGGCUCACGAUUAUGGUAACCGAGGGUAAUUUUCUUCCAGGCCCAAAAUUUUCCACUCUAAAUUUAUAACCAAACACCACCAAGAACCCAUUCAAUAAGCUUUAGUAAACAAUGUGGAAUAUUUUGUGCUUAAAAAUGUCAAUGAUUAAUGUCAUUUGUUCCUGUACUUUUAGGAUAAUCUCAUGGAAAAGUAUGAUCAUAUUUAAUUAAUGGCACUCGAGUUCCAAGGACAAAGAUGCUUCUGGAGAAAGGAAUUUGGUUUGAAAAUAUGCCAGAAAAACUCUCAGCAUUCCAUGACAAGUAUGAAGCGACAGGGUAGUGGUAUUUUUCUCUGGAUCCAAGAAAUGUAAAUGAGCAAUGGGUUUAUGAAUUCAAUCCCAACAUUAGAGAAGUUUCUUUAUAGAAUCCAUCCAACAUGACUAUUAAUAUCCAGGGCCCAAUAAUGCGCUUUAGGGAAAACUAAAUUAAUGAUGUUUACCAGCUCGCGUAUGCAGACAUAGGUAAGUUUAGAGUAAAAGGGUGUAAGUCAAAAAUUUGGUUGGCAGAAAGAUUGCAUCUCAGAAGGAAGUCUCAUGGAUGAAGAAAAAAGCAACAUCUCCCUGAAUGACUUCACUUUCGAGGCUCGCAUUUGGUUGCACAUUAUAUGUAGCCGAGUCUCCCCUUGUACCCACAUGACAGCAGUUCCAGAUCUGUGUGCUUGAAUGGUUUCUUGUCUUUAAGAUGACAUUCUUUUUGAUAUUAGUCAGCUCGUGGUCAAUAAAAUGGACCACUUUAAGGACCAAUAUGGUAUGUAUCUCUUUUUUCCCUCAUAAAUUACUGAGCUUUGUGGGAGAACGGAGGUUGAGGAGUAUGCUAGAGAUACUUGGGUGCUCCCUAGUCCCCUAUCAACCCUUGGAGGAUUCGAGGGAAGGGCGCACCUGACAAAGAAUAGAAGUGAAAGAUCGACUUGGAAAGUCAUCAUUUACUAAGACUGAGUUCUAUAGGCCAUCCCCUAUUAGUCUUCUUGAGGAUAUUGGAGAUGAUAUUACUACCAUUAGGGAGCUUGUGUCUAGUUUUCCCCCAGGACUUGGAGAUCCCUUCACCACUCAUCAUUUAAAUAUGUCACCACCCAAUUAUAAAAAGUAUAGAGAGUAUCAAAAGACGUAGGAAUCUACCAUGGCUAGUCUUCAGAAAGCCUACUCAUAUUUGGUGGAAUCAUAUUGAGAUCUCUGAAUUAUGCAUAAAAAGAUGGUUAUAAAGGAAAAAAAGAGGGAUUGGUUUUUUAAAAUGAUGUGGAAGGGGAUGAAGGUCCUAUGGAAUAUUCUAAAAUCCUGAGAUAGACUUCCUUUCUCCUGGGUGGAGAGUGAUGAUGAGGCCCUGACCGAUUGGUUCGAUCUUGAGGAAAAUAAUGAAGAUGCAGAGUCUCAAAGUGACAACAUCCCUUGAUAUUAUUUGAAGGAGCACCCUUAUCUGUUUUAUCCUUGAUUAUUUAGGCAGUGGGUACACUUAUACCUUUUUAGUUGGGGUGCCUGUCUCCGUAUUCAUUUGAUUUGGGCUUGUAUUAUUGAUAUUUCUAAAUAUUAUUUUGCUCUUUUAGUUAGUUCUUAUUUUUAUUUGGGUUUUAAUAAUUAGGCACUCUUACGGUUCCUAUAUUUUCAUGGAUUAGUUACUUUGAUUCUAGAUUGUUGUUUUAAUUAAUUUUGGUCAUUUGCAGAGCUUUUCCCUAUGAUAGACUAAGUGGCGACAAUCUUAAGAGGACAGCUUCAUGAUUGGAUUUUAGUCAUGGAUGCAGGGAAAGUCUGAAUACCCCUAACAUCAAAGUCACAAAGGUAAGAAAAGUUUAAGUACCUAUGGCAUUGUUGAUUUUGGAUCAUAUUCAUACCUAUUAGAGAAGUCUGAGUAGCCAUAUUGGUAGGUAGAUUAUAUUAAAACCUCAAUGUGAGACAAGAGCUUUGAUUUUUGACAUGAUUAACAAAUUAUGCAUGGUGCGAAUGCAAGAAAACACAACUCCUCUCUUCAAAAUUUUUGCAAAAUUCUAGGGCAUAGACAUGAGCAGCUUUGUAACAAAACUUUUCCACCUACUUUAAUCCAUUGGAAUUUUUUUUGAUAAAAACAUUGCAAGGUGUGACCCUUCUAUUAUCCUUAUUUUGAGCCCUAUCCUUCUUUAACUUAAAAAUAUAAUUUGAGAAUAUAAACCUAAGUUGGGGGGGGGGGGGAGAAAGUUGAAAGAAGUGUCGUUGGUCAAUGAAUUCAUAAAAAGUGCUGACAUGUUUAAGAAAAUAAAUAUAAAUGAUUAGAAGAAAGAAAGGAUCCAAAAAAUAAAGGAAAUACAUGAUUUAUGAACAAAAAAGUGAAAGAGAAAAGUGGAAGAAUAUGGAAAAAUGAAGAAAGCCAAUGUAGGCACAAUAGCGAAAGAAAUGAAGUGGCCCAAUAUCAAAAUUUAUAGAGUGUGUUGUAGAAGUUCGAAGAUGGUUUAGCCUUAUUAUCCAAAAUUAAUAUCCUACCCAACCCUAAACCUACAUUAUAAGCUUAACAAGGUUUUCAUGAUUCCCAACCAAAUGUGAUCAUUGUAGUGGCGAUUGAAAAAAUGGUCAAUCCUAUGGCAUGGUACUUGUUAGUAUUCAGAGUUCUUGUGAGAGAGAUAGAGUGUUUGCUCUUAAAUUUGUUGUUGCAUGAUUGAUAGCUAGGUAUGUGAUAUCUUCUUUAUUGUGAGGAGGCAUGUGAUCAAGUUGAGGUGGGUGAUUUUGUCACCUUUACAACAAUGAGAUACAAAGUAGGUAUAAUGUGGUUGAGGUUAAGAAGUGAGACAAUUCUAAAGUAUUGGUAGUGGUCACAUGGUUUCUCCUUAAAGUCUAUUGCGUCCUUCAAUGUUCCAUUUUAUGUUGAAAGGUGUAGUCGAAAUAAUUUUUCCCAUGUAUGAAGUGAUUUUUUAUGGUAAUAAUCAAGUGAAAGUCAUCAUGGUCAUUGGGUAGCAUAACGUGGGCAUACAUGUUAAAUUUUCUCAUGAUAAGGGGUGGUGGAUGUUAAUGAAUUGUGAUUUUACCACUCAUUUGCAGUUAACUUUCAGGUACACUACCAAGUUUUGUGUAACUAAAUGAGACAUAACUGUGAUUUAAUCAACUAAUAGCAAUAUUUUUGCAGACAUAUAGUUGGUGAGAUGAAAGGAUAUGCAUUGAAGCUAAAAGACAUCAAGUGGAAGCAAAGAAGUGCACCUGAAGACCUAAAUUUCCAAAGACAAAAAUUUUGGUCAGUCAAGAUGGCUAAUAUAACACAAUCGCGGAUCCAUACCACGGUAGUGUUGGCCAUGGUCAUCGACGACCUCAAGUGAUCACGUCUAAGUGCGAAUGUUUCCCAGGGCAGUUUUGUAAUUUCACUUGGUCUAAUUCCAAACUUUAUUAGGUUAAAACCCUUUCAUCUUUGGGUAUUUCUUACCUUAUAGAUAUUUUUGUAUUUUAAACAAGAACCCUAAUUUAUAAAGAUUGUAACUAAUUUUGAAGACUUGAAUUCUUAGGGUUUUGUGAAGAAAUGGAUGCUUUGGAUAAUCCUUAUGGUAUAUCUUUCUCUACAUUCUUCAUGAGUAUCUACAAAAUUUAGUAUUGGGAUUAUGUUGAAUAAAGUGUAUCUGUGUGUGGGAAUUGAUGUAUUUACAUGAUUUCUAGUUGUUGAGUAUGGAUUUAACCAUUGCUUGAGUUUAAUAGUUAGAAUUUUAUGGGUAAGAACCCCAAAUGUCCCAAUGAGUUUGAUAUAUGAAAACCCUAAACUCUAGAAAACCUUCAUAAUCUUUGAAAGAGGAAUGAAGGUGAAUCAAUGGGAACCCAUAGCAUCCUUUAAAAUGGCUAUAGGGGGACAAGGAAAUGGUGGACAAUUAAGUUUGUGCUUUACUACCUUUUGACAUCUUAGAAAUAAGUUUAAAUUGAGUGUAAGUCAUGUCAUGGGCAUCUUUCUAGAAAUAGGGAUGCUCGGUUGAGGUAUUGGGUGACUAUGCAUGGCACACUUGUUAGGUUCUCGAAAGAUCCAAUGGGUGAAAUCUUUGAGGUUUUGUUGAAAAACUAGCCGCAAAGACUUUUGAUCUAUCCUAUCUCUCACUCAACAACUAUAUAUUUUGAUGAACCAUAUUUAACGUACACACUUUAUACCUUCAGUAACACGUAAUCCUAAAAUUCUCCCCAAACAUGAUCUUAAAACUAAAAGUGUCAUUAUUGCUUGUUAUAACUCAACAAUUGAUACAAACCAAAUCCCCCCACUUUUAUUAUAUGGGUUUUCUUACAUUCUGGGAAUCUUUUUAAUAAUUAGAGCACCCAAAGGGCUUGAAAUUUUCAUUUCACUCUUUGUGGAAUCAACCCCAACGUGAGUUGGGAUAUUGACAAUGACUGCCUUACCCCCUAAACAUGAGUGUAAGUUGAGAUUUAUCACUGAUUAUUCUAACAACUAUAAUAGUGAUUAUGCUAUUGCCUGUGAUAUAGACCAUGUUUAAUAACUAUACUAGUGAUUUUUCUAUUGGUUAUGUUAAUUAUCACUUAUUGGGUACAUUGAUGAUCGUGCUAUUGAUUAUACUACAGAGCAUGAUUACUAACUACAUUACUAGUUAUUCCAUUGAUUUUGCUAUGAAUAAGCUAUAGAUUAUGCUAUGGAUAAUCCACCUCUAAGCGAAUGAUAAGCUAUCUUUUAUGAUAAUGAUAAUCCAUUGACUAUCUUAUUGAUAAAGUUAUUGCCCCUGCUUUUGAUAAUAAUUAUUGAUUAUGUUAGAAAUCAUAUCUAUUAACUAUAUUAGCAAUCACAAUGUUUAUGGGUUAUAUUAGUGAUUAUGCUAUUGAUCUUACUAAUGAGCAUGCUUAUUGAUUUUAUUAUUGAUUGUACUACUAAUUAUACUAAGGACCAUGCUUAUUGAUUAUAUUAGAGACUAUGAUAUCCAUUAUGGCAAGAUUAUUUAUUUACCAUGGUAGCGAUCAUGCUAUUGAUUAUGGUACCGGCCAUGGUAAUAAUGAUAUGAUUCCCGAUAUAAGUUUUGAUAUUUCUUAUGAUGUGACUUAUUCAAAUACUAGUUCAAAUAUCAUUCAUGAUGAUGAUAUCAAUUAUUGAUAGUUGAUGUAUGUUUUAAGGAUGGCUAUGAAUUUGAUGAUGAUAUUCAUAAUAUUGAUGAUAGCAUUGAUGAUGAUAUUGAUGAUAUUAGUGAUGAUGUUCAUGUUCAUAUUGAUUGUGAUAUUUAUGUUGAUAUCAUUAAUUAUACUUAUUUGUUCGAGUUCGGAUAUACAUAUAAUACUAUGAUGGCAUACUUAUUAUGGUAUGAUGGUAUUAGGGUGUGAGACAACAAUAACAAUUCUAGCUAAGUAUGAAAAUAAGGAAAUGGUUAUAAGAUGGCAUUGUAUGAAUGGAUCCCAUUGAUACUUGUUUAGUUGAUAAAUAGCGAUUAAUUGAAAAAUGAUGAUUAGCCGACAUAUCAAGAUUAGUUGAUAAAUAAUUAUUAGUUGAUAAAUGAUGAUUAGUUGAUAAAGGAUGAUGAGUUGAUAUGUGAGGAUUAGUUGUUACAAAAUGGUAGGUUGAUAAGUGUUGACCUACUAAUAGAUAACGACCAUGGGCAAUCAAUGACUUGUAUGGUAUGGAUGGAUGCUAGUUGUAUCAUGAGGGCAUAUAAUAAGGGUGAUGGGUUACCUAUCUUAUUUGUACCUUUCAAGCUUAUGGGGGCUUAUGAUGUGUCACUUAUUUUUUCUCACUAAUUGACAUAUGGGGGCAAAUUCUAAAUUUAUAACUGCAUAUGUUUAUUCCUUAUGUUAGGAUGUUAUUCCGGGUAAUUUACUUAAUUAUGCACAACAAUGUUGGAUUUUUUUCAGGUUUGUCUCUACCUUGACAUAGUUAUGUUAUCUCACAUUUUAUUAUACUUAUAUCAUAAUUUAGCUCAGUCGGUCGAUGAUGCCGACUGAGUGUCUGUGGUCUUCGUACUCAUACUACACUUCUAUACCUUUUUGUUGCAUAUUAGCGAACUAGUUUCUGUCAUUGAUCAUCGCUCAUGCUAUGUUGAUUUUUGUAAAUAGGGUAAGAUCUUUGAGUCAGAGUCUCCUAUUUCCUUUUAUAUUUUAUGUUUAGCCUUUUGUUUUGAGACAGAUGUUAUUGACUAUUUUAGAACUUAAGUUGUACGAUUAGUAGAGUCUGUUGUACUGGCUCUACCAGGUCGUGGGAUGGUUUAUUAUGUAAGAAUAUCUUCUAUCUGGUUCAUAUAUAUUGCUUAUCUGAAGGUGUGUUGUUGAUUUUCCCUAUGUUGGGCCUUUUCACACCAAGUUAACUCAUUGUGUUUAGCUCCGAGUUACAAUAUAGUAGGUGCCAUCAUGAAUUGUAAAUUGGGUCGUGACAGUUUAACUAAGGUUUUUGCUCGGUUGCCAAUUCAAACUAGUGAAGAAUUCAAAGUAGGGAAUUAUCUCUUAAAAGCAAACGAACUAUCUAGUAACCAAACUGCCAGUUCUAACAAGUCAGAAAUGACUCAGGAAAGAUAUAGAAAAAGUUUGAAACGACAAAAUAAGCAUAAAUACAGAAAAUGACCUAUAGGGUCAUUAUGAUUUUAGUGUAAUUUCUUUUUUUUUUCUAUGAGUGGCUACACUCUCAUACAUGGGGUUAUGCACAAAUAAAUGUUGAUUGAGUCUGGGUAGUGAUCAAGUACCUUUGUAUUAGAUUAUGAAUUAUGAUUUUAACUAAUUAUCUAUGCUCUGAUAUAUAUAUUAAGGUUGUAAGCUUAGUCUAUGUUUGGAUCUUUUUUAAUUCUUGAAAAAAUUACAAGAGUGAUGAGAUUUGCCUAACGAAAUUUGAGUUAUACUCAUUUAAGUGCCAAUGCUAGUGAUUGAUUUAACAUGUCGAGGAUAAUGGUUGUUCAAUAGUAAGAAUUUGGGUUUUCAAGUGAAACCCUUGUGAUAUUUGGUUAUGGAUUGAAAAAUCAUAGCCAAUAUCUAAAAUCAAUCCUAAUAAUAACAAACAAUCAAUUAUUAGGUGUAUUUUUAUGCAUCUAUAAAUGUAAUCAUGCUAAAGAAGGCAUAAACCAAUAUGCUUUAAUUCACUAAAUUAUAAUCUUAUUGCUUUUAGCUUUGACAAAUCAAUUGUCAACACUUUUAACUUGUUCUAGAAAGGUUCAAAUACAAACACCCCUUUUGAAUUUUACUUUAAAAUUUAAUUUCAGUAUUGCAUGCAAGCCUAGAGUAUCUUGUGAUACUUGAGAGUGAAGAUAAUGAUAUUUUUUCAUGUGGAAACAACCUCGACUCUUGUGGUUAAGAAAAUACAUUAGAAAUGAUCUCUAUACUUCAAUAGUAUAAUUUGAAUAUCAUCACAAAUGGUUUCAUUGUCGGGGGAUAAAAUAUAGCUGUUAUUCUUUUUAGUUUUAUAAUUCACUUCGAGUUAGUCAUAGUGUUUACUUCACAUUGUUUGUUAUUUUUGUUUCAUAUAGAUGAUAACAUGAGCCAACAUGGUAGUGAGUCUGCUACCUUUGAUGGCCAUCUCGGGGAUUAGGAUCACCUUUGAGAUACCAACAAAGCUAGUACCAUCGGAUACCACCCGCCAAGAAAAAUAACGUGUUUCUUGUUACUAGCAUGAUGCUUCAUUUACUUCAGAUAAAGGGAUUGUCUGGGGACGAAGCGCACGAAUAUGACAAACUUAAUUUGAAGAAUUUUAAUAAAAUGUGUCUAGUAUCUUUCAUUUGAUAUAACCUACAUAUCUCAAGAGUCAAUCUGAUUGCGACUUCUCCUAUUCUCAUUAAUAGAAGAUGAAGUAUUAUGGUUCCCAAAAUUUCCCACAUAUUCUGUCACUUCAUAUGAUAGAAGCAUUCUUUGAUCGAUUCUUACCUCCAUCACAAAUGUUAAAAUUAAGGGAUGAAAUUAUUGACUUUCAUUAAUUAAGUAGCGAACCACUCCAUGAAACUUUGUAAAUGUUUAAUAAGAAGUUUUUUUAAUGACCUAAUUAUUAAGUCUCAGACUAAAUACUCUGUCAAAUAUUUUAUUAAGCAUUAGAUCAAUUGAAUAAAAUGGUGGCGGAUAAUGCGGAUGAUGGAUCUUUAGUGAAACAAACUUAUGGUGUUGUGGUGGCUUUAUUGGAUUAAGUUACUAAGAAAAGUCGAGGUUGGCAUAUAAGAGAUACCGAAGUGGACAUGGGGUCUCCCUACAAAUAUUUUGCAAGUCAAGAACAAAUAAAGCAGGAUAAGAAGAGAAAUGAGGAUUUGACAAAAGUAAUGACACAAUUGAAUGUUCUCACCAAAUAUAUAAUGGGCUCAACUCCAAAGGUAGUCAAUAUCCUUGAUUCUAUAGGAACCAAAGCAUGUGAUGAUAUUGACACAGAGUCUUGAUAAAGAAAUCCAAUUCAUACAAAACCAAAUGAGGGUGCUAACCUACCUAUCAAAGGCAAACCAUGAAUCAAGGUUGUAAAGAAAGGAACCAUGAAUCAAAAAAUUAUGAUUGAGAUAGAGAUAAGAGACAUAAAGAAAGAGAUUAAGCACAUGAUUUGAAAGAUAUGGAUUUGUCACUAUGAUAAGGAUCUUUCUCUACAUGAUUGGGUGAAAGUAAGACUCUGUCUUUAUUUAUCUGGAAAACUAUAAAAGUACGUGCAUCCUUAUGGGGGUUGAAGGAAUUGAUAAGAUGCUAAGAGUGAUGUAAACCAACUUUUUGAAACACAAUAAAGCCAUUACUUCACACUUAAUAUCUAUCAAAUAAAAUGAGACCCAAUUGGGUUAAAUUUCUUCCUUUUUGAAUGCAAGACAAAAAGGAGGACUACUUAGUGAUACGAUAAAAAAUUUGAAGAACAAAGAUCGUGGCCUGGCAAAAUUUCACAAGGAAUGAAAAACUAUAGGUAAUAAUGUUAUGAAUCUUGAUGAAGAUUUUGAUGAUAAGGGAGUUGAUAAACAUGUAAGAGGGAAGAUAAGACUUUUUAGCUUUGGCAUCCAGGUAGGAUAUGCUUACCCUAUUUAUAUACUUAAUUUAUUUUUGAUAAUUGUAUGAUAUUAUGCUAGUUUUUGGCAGGUAGUGAUAUCCUGGGUAUCAUUUGAAAUACUUUAUCCAUUAUUUAUCUGGUUAAGACCCCAUUCUAGUAAAUGUAGGUCCCAUUAUCUUGUAGUAUGGUGUAGUAUUUAUGAGCUUAGCACGUGAUCUUAAAUUUUGAAAUCUAGUUUUCCUCCCUUUUAACUAAGUUAUGCAAAUAUUUUUCUAAAUUCAUCUCAGUUAUAGUUCAAGGCCACCAUAUUUUCUAUUUUUGUUAUUUAUUGUAAAAUUUGGUACCACUUUUGCAUCAAUUAUAGUGUAGAUUAGGUUUCAGUUUUAGGUUUGAGUGCAGUUAUUAUGAGUUUUUCUUCGAGUCCGACAAUUUGGUUAUGAUAUUAUCGGGGAGUUCUCUUACAGAUUACUAUUGUUCUAUGAGUUAUGGUACCUCUGAGAUUCAGUCUGAGUCUAAUAUCAUAUUAUGAUUUCUAUUGUAGAUCAUAUAUGUGGACUCUCAUUAUUACCCAAAUUUUGAUUUUAUUCCAGUAUAUUGCCUCUUGUUAUUAUCAAACACUACUUAUUCAAGCCCAACAUCUUCCCUCUCGUUAGUACCUAUUAGUGUUGAUUCUAUCAUGGUUCAUAUUUGGAUAGGUACUAUGUUUUCUGGGGAUUGGUUCAGUCAUAGAUUAUUUAUGUAAUUUUUUUAAUUACUUCUUAUGUGUACCACCAACUUAUGGGUACACAGUUUGGCAAAUAGUUUUUUCAGUGUCCCUAGUGGGCUUAUGAGGACCUAAUUACAUUAUGUUUAGUUUGAAUUCUUAUUAUUGUGUUAUUUAUCUUUCUUUAUUGCUUUUAGUUAUUCGUUUAUCACAUUUCUAUAUCUUGUUAGCUGUUUAUCUUUCCAUCUCUAUUUAUAGUUCACUUAGACUACACCCUCAAAUUUUAAUUAUACUUUUUCUAUAUUGAGCUCAGUCGAUUGAUGAUGCAUAUUGAGAAUCCAUUGCUUUGAUACUCAUACUACACCUUCAUAGCUUUUCCCUGAUGUAGAUUUGAGUUCUAACAGUUGAUGUUGACAUUAUUUCCUUUUUCCAGUACCGAUUUGGAGUUGGGUGAGCUUACUAUCAUCCAAGUAUUAUCCUCCUACAUCAGUUCUAGUUUGUUUAUAAUUUAGAUUCUAACUAGUAUUCUUAGUACCUUUUAGUAGUGGCUUUAGUACCGACCUCACCAGGUCUUUGGAGAAAUUCAUUUGUAUAUUUUUUCCUCUUCUUUCUCUUCGUUUUUAUAUCUUUUAUAUAUUUUUCUUUUUUUUUGAUUAAUACUACUGGAAUUAUUAAUAUCUGGUCUUUUUGGUUUUUGCCCGUAAGACUGUUACCUUUGCCUCUAGGCUAUGUCUUGGAUUUCCUACCUGUGGGAUAAGGCAGGCACCAUCAUUACUUGAGAAAUCAGGUUGUGACAACUUGGUUUCAGAUCGUAGGUUUCACUCAUAUUUUUUAUACUGGAGAUAAUGUUUAGUAGUGUCUCGUAGAUUGUAACAUAGAUGUCUGUAUCUCUUUUUUUGGAGGCUACAGAGCAUUUCCAGAGCAAAAUAUCAUUUUUUAAUCUAUUUUAAAGGAUCGGGUUUGAGUUGGUUUUUAAUCUUUAUUAGUUUACUCAUUAGGAAGAUUGCUAGGGUGCGAGGUGCGAGAGCUAAGGAUCAAGAAACUGAGCCCACUAAUAGAGUUCCUGUUAAGGGCAAAGGUUGGCCUAGAGGUUGGGGGCAUGAUAGAUUAGUAGCCCCAUUUUGAGAUUAGUCUAGGAAUACAUUACAUAAUCUUCUUAUAGCUCCGAUGUUUGAGGAAACUUUUGGUAUUCCAUCACCACAAUAAUAUGUGGGAAAGGGAGAAGAACCGGCUCCACCCAAUUUUAUAUCCUGUUAAUCCUUCGUGAUACAUUUCUAUAAUUAUUAAGAUUAGUUGGUAGUACGUUGAACGAGGAUGCUCAGACAAUAAUAUAUGGUGGUGUUCAUUUAGGGGCACAACUUACAAUAGUGAUGCCUAGGAUAGAGGUUCCUCAAACCCUAGUAGUUCCAUAUCCAGUAGUAGUAUAAAUAGUAAUAUCCAUUAAGGAGCAAAUUAUGCAGGGACGAUGUUUAAAAUUGACUCCAUCCAUGUUUACUGCGACCGCAAGAGAGGAUGCUUAUGAGUUCAUGUCUAGUUAUGAUGAGUUAUUAUGAAAUUUGGGGUUGGUCAAAUCAUGAGGUGGUGGACUUUUUUGCUUAUCAACUAGACACAUUAGAGAGAAGGUGGUAGGGAUGUUAUCUUGAUUGGAGACCAGCUAAAUCUCCACCGGUGACUUAGACUCAAUUCUCCAAGUCAUUCUUGGGUAGUUAUAGGCCUUGCAGCAUGCACCAUUGUCUUUGGGAUUAGUUUUUGACUUUGAUACUAUGUUCUAUGUCUAUGGCUGACUUUGAGAAAGAUUUCAUGAUUUAGCGAAUCACGCCACUAUUAUUCUUCAUAUAAAGUAAGAGCGGAUAUGAUACUUUGUUAGGGGAUUGAGAUUACAUUUUUGUAGGGAUACAUAAAUUUUGGUGACUUUAGGAAAGUUUUUUUAAGAUAUUUCUGAUCAUGCUUAUUCUAUCGAAGAGAUAGCUAAUGAGGCCCAAGGGGGAAAUGAUUAUAGACCUUAUUAUCUUGGAAAUUACAAUGGCACCUACAUUAUCUCAUAGUCUUGAUGUUGAGGGUUGCUAGGUAGGUAUUCCCAUCAGCAGCCUUAUCAGCAUUUAGAGCCUAAUAGGAUAGUUCAAGCAUCGCUUCAGAUAUUAUAUACUGGUCAACCCAAUUAUAGUAUUUAGAGCAACAAUUAGGUUUAGAGGGAUGUUUAAUUAGGAUCAUUGAGUCAGGGUAGUCAUUCUAGGUCAACCAAUCCUUCUAGAAAGAACAAGGUGCCCGAGGCAUGUUAUGAUUGUGGGGUUGUUGGUCACUUUGCCCAUGAGUGUUCUUAGCAGUGAAUGAUUGAGCCUUUAGUUCAGACUACAGAACUAAUCAUAGCAGUGCCACUGCCAGCUAGGGGUGUUACAUAGGGUUAUGAUUAUGGACUCUAUAGUUUAAAAGAUGGUUCAUGGGGAGGUAAAAUAGGUGGUAAAACAUACAUCUAGUCUAGUAGUUUACCUUUUCUAUUUUUAUGUGCAUCAAGUAGACUAGUAGAUGAGGCUUAAAAUUUUGUGAUAACAUGUAAGAUUUUCAUAUUCCAUCAAAAAACUUCCACUUUGUUUGACCUUGGUUCCAUACUCUUAUAUGUUUCCUCUUAUUUUGCAUCAUAGUUGGGUUUGUGUUUAGAGUCUUUAUCUAUUUCAUUAUAUGUAGAUAACCCUAUGGGUAAUUCUUUAGUAGUGGAUAGGGUAUAUAAAUAUUGUCUUGUGGUUGUCAGGAGUUUAAUACUCGGGUAGUACACUUUGUCCUAGAAAAGGUAGAUUUUGAGGUGUUUCUGGGCAUGGACUGGUUGUCUACCUAUCAUGUGAUCUUAGAUUGGUUUGCCAAGACCGUUACCUUAGCCAUUCCUGGCAUAUCUCCUAUUGUGUGGUAGGGAUCUUUAGCGAUAUGCCAAUAGCAAUUAUUUAUAAAAUUCAUUCUAGGCAAUUGAUUUCGAGGGGUUGUGAGUCAUUCCUUGCUUAUUUUUGGAAUAUUAGCACUAAGAGUCUAUCACUUGACUCUCUUUCUAUUGUUUGCCAUUUUCCUGAUAUGUUUCCAACCGAACGACCUCGUCUUUCUCCUGGAUAUGAUAUUGAGUUUAUUAUUGACCUAGAUUUGGGCACUCGACAUAUUUGUCUAUCUCUUUAUCAUAUGGCUCUUACUAUUCUAAUAGAGUUGAAAGUUAGCUUCAGGAUAUUUUAAGUCAGGGCUUUAUUAGACUAAGUGUAUCGCCUUGGUGUGCUCCAAUUCUUUUAGUGAGUAAAAAAGAUGGCUCUAAGCAUAUGUGUAUCAACUAUGGGCAGUUGAAUAAGGUUAUAGUAAAGAAUAAGUAUCCUAUACCUUAUAUCGUUGAUUUGUUUGAAUAGCUCUAGGAUGUUGAUGGCUCAUGGUUUUAUGGAACUUCUCAUUCUUAAAACAAUGAAAAUAUGCAAGAACUUAGGCCUUCUUGUUAGAUUUGAUGUGUGUUUUGUGUAUGUUGUAGGUAAAUACGGUUGGUGGUGAUAUGGAUAAAGAAUUGAUGAAAAAGCUCGAUAAUAUGAUAAGUGCGAACUUGACAACGAGUCAUUUAGUCACCUAAUGACUGGUGGCCUAAGUCAUGAUGUAAACAGUAAAGGAGUCUAAAUUCAUGAGAAAAGUAGAGACUGAAUACAUCUAGGGACAAGUGAUAAAGAGUCAUGAUGUGGAAUCAUUUUGUUUACAUUAGCCAAAAGUCCGGAAAGUUGACAAGUGAAGUUACAAUUGAAAUGAGUGAAGCUCAUUGGUCGUGAUGUAGAGUUGUUCUUAGCAUGGAGAAAAAUACUAAAAGUUGAAAGUCACUGGAGUCAUGUCAGGUCCUAGUCAACGACUCGUUAAGUCACACAAUAAGUCAUGACUACUGAAGAUAGAAGAGGAGUAGCUAACGAUUCAUUACCAAACAUAAUCACUCGUUGCCAAAGGGAUGACCACUGCCGACCUCUUUUCCCUAUUUUUAUUUGGUAAGGUUUCUUAUUUGAUUUUGAGAAUAUAAUUACCCCUGGGGUCCUAUUGUAAUAGUUACGUACUUUGACAUAUUUUUACCCACUUUAUACUCUUUUACUUGGUUUUUGAAUUAUUAUUGAAUUUGAGACUUUGGAUUUUACGCUUACAUUCUUGUGCAAUUAAUUCUAUGAUUUCAUUACCAAAUUCCAUGGAUUGUUGUAUAACCAUGAGUGGAUAGUAAAUUUUUCUGAUUUCGUAAUCAUAUUCCCACAAAUAUAGGAGCCAUGGAUAGGGAAUACAGUUAUGAAUUUAUUAAUUAAAGUUGCUAAAGUUCUUGGGUUUUAUUUUUCUGUUCAUCGUAUGUUGUAUGCUAGCAUAUGCCUAAACUAGAAGUCAAGGAAAUACCUUACUCCCACAAAAUCCUAACCCCAAGAGACUUCUGUAUAUGAAUCAAACAAUGACAGAACACAUACGUGAAGGACUCUUGAAAGGGUUUGAGAUAACCAAAAUGUUGUGCCUCCCUCUCUGCCUCUUGUUGGUCAGGACAUUACUGAUUAACAAACUGAUCCAUUAUUAACUGAAGCUAUUAAAUAGAGGAUGGAAGAAGAUUCUCAAAAUAUAUAUCCGGAUGCAGAGCUAUCAAGUCAGAGACAAGAGGAGGAUUAUCGAGUAGCACUCGAUAGAAAAAAAGAUGAAGUUAUAGGUGGUAGAGCUCAAGGACUCUCACCCAAUCUGUACUUGCGACCAUAUAAAGAACAAGAGGAGGACUUGGGUCACGUUGAGUAUCCUAAGGCAUUAGAUAUUAUUCCUCAUGGAUUGCUAUCAAAUGUGAUAUUUGAUAUCAUUAGUGUUAUGAUCCAGCUAUUGAGCUUGACGGGUGUGUCUACGGGCUUACCAAUUGAUGAUGUAUAUAUGCAUUUUAUAAACUUUAUUGGGAUUUGCACUUCAUACAUUAUACCGAAGGUAGAUCAGGAGGCUCUCACACUCACAUUGGUCCCUUUUUCUAUAAUUUGUUAAGCUACAUUAUGGUUAUGAGAACUUACUCAUGCAUCCAUUACUACUUGGAUGAGUUAUGGAGGAAGUUUCUAGAACAUUUCUUUUCUCCAGCAAGUAUGCUACAAUUUCAAGAUGAUAUAUAUAAAUUUAGGUAGUUGGAUUCUGACUUGAUGUGUGACAUGGUUUUGGUAUAAGGAGAAGGUGAUAAUGGUUCCUAACCACUGGAUUUCCAAGAAAAUUUUUUUUAGAAAUAUUCUAUAAAUCCCUUAAUACCAGUUCCAGUGAUUUGGCAGACACUAUUUCUGGUUGAGCAUUCAUGCGCUUGCACUGGGAGAUAGUAUUGAAUAUGCUAGAUCAAAUCUCUCUCACCAACGAAGGGUGGCAUACUUGGGAGGUAGAUAAGGGUGAUGGAACAUAUGCUAUUGGGGCCUUUAGUGAACAUGGAGUCAUUGAUUGCAUAAUGGCACAAAAGGUUUCUCAGUUAAGGACUAAGGUGAGGUUGUUGUCUAAGCAGUUCACAAUAAUGAAUUUUGAGAAGGUAAAUGUAGUGGGUUCAUAGGGGGAUACCUCUAGAUAAUAUUAUUCAAAUUUAGUAGAAGAGGGGAAUUAUCUAUAUAGAGAGUUGGAGGGUUUCCAAGAAAAGGGUCAAGGAAAUCAAGGAAACCAAGGUCGGAACUACUAUAGGGAUAGGUACAGAGAUCAGAGUAGAGAGCUAGAGAAUGACUAGAGAUGUAAGGUUGACUAUGAGGAGAAGGGGGACAAAUAUGUUCAACCAAGUAGUUGAGAUAGUGAAUCAAGAAUAGAGGCAAUGAUAUCCAAGCUAGUCAAGGGUAAGAAAAGCUAGGAAACUUUCCUUAAGGAGAUUAAUGCAGAAAUUUUAGGUUAAAUCUAGAAGUUAGAAUUGUAUGCACUACAAUCAAAUUUUGGAGCAAUAAUUUUUUUCAAAUAUCAAAAACCUUGAAUCAUUUACAUCUAGGCACCAUUCUAACCAACAUAGUUUAGAGUCCUAAGAAUGACGAUCACAGUUUAGAAAUUACUACUUGUGCUGGUAAGAAUACCGUUGAUACCCCUAUGACCAUGGUUGAUGAGUCAAAAAAGAUAGCGUUGAUAUUGAUGACGCAACUUAAGUAGAGUCAGAUAAGAUGGUGAUGAAUGCUAAGUCAUCAGAAAGUGAAGAGGUGUUGAGAAAAAAGUUUCUAAUGAUAAAUGUAAAGAAAAAGUAGAUGAUCCAGUGUUGAAGACUAUUCCACACCCUCCUCAAUAUUUUCCUCAGCAUUUGAAGAAAAAUAAGAGAAAAGGAAAUCUGAAAGAUUUUUUUAUAUGCUGAAGGAGUUAUCUAUUAAUAUUCUUAUUUUAAAAUCUUUAGAGUAGAUUCCUGGGUAUGUGAAGUUCAUGAAAGAUAUGGUCACUAAGACUCGGAAACUGAGAUUUGAGCCCAUAAAUAAUGUGCAUCAUUGUAGUGUUGUGGCUACUUGAUCGUUAAUGGAGAAUAAGAAGGACCCCUGAGCAUUCACCAUUCUAUGUACUAUUGGGUCCUUUAACUUCUCUCGAGCAUUAUAUAAUUAUGGAGAUAUCAUCAAUAUUACGCCUUUGGUGGUAUACAGAUAGUUAUGGUUGUGGUCAACCAAACCUACAUCUAUGGGACUAUUGAUGGUCGACUAGACUAUCAAGGAAUCAAUUUGUAUUUUGUGUGAUGUAUUGGUGAAGGUUGCAUCCUUUAUAUUUCUGGGUGACUUUGUGAUCUUGUACUAUAAGGUGGACUUUGAAUUCUUUAUUAUCUUUGGAAGGCCAUUCAUAGAUAUGACUAGGCCCCUGGUUAACAUGGAUAUAGGUCAAAUGAAGUUCAAACUCAACGAUGAGCAAGUAACUCUUAAUGUUUGUUAGUAUGUCCGAUAGGCAAAUGAUAUAAGAAUGGUGUCUGUGAUUAAGUCUAUCGAUGAUGAUGAAGUAAAUGUGCCCACUGAGGAGAGGUUUGGGUUUAAGGAGUUAGCAACAGGCAUCAUAAAUUUUGAUACCAAUGGUAUCGAUGAGUAUGACGAGAUUGUAAGCACAUUGUAUAGUAGAGGUUCUUAUAAUUAUGAUCCAAAGAAGUUGAUUUGCAUCUUAAAAAUAGAACCACUCCUCUAGUUUAACCAUCUAUUGAUAAGCCACCGGUCUUGGAGUUGAAGGUCUUUCUCUAACACUUGUGCUAUGCAUUUUUGGUGGAAGAUAAUACCUUAUUGGUGAUUAUUGCUAGUAGCUUGAUAGAGACACAGAUUGAAGCAUUUCUAUUAGUGUUGUAGAGAAUUUAGAGUUCUAUUUGAUUGACCAUUGCAGAUAUUAUAGGGAUCCCCGUCAGGUAUUUUUACACAUAAAAUACAGCUUGAUCCAGACUAUAUUCCAAGAAUUGAGCACCACCAUAGGAUGAAUUUGCCUAUGCAUGAGGAGAUGAGCUUGACAUAGAAUAUACUUUUCCAGAUGAGCGAUUCUUGGUAGCAUCUCAAGACCUAAUACCCUGGUUUUUUUAUUUUGCCAACUUUUUGGCAAGUGUUCUUAUUCUAGAAGAUUGGUCAUUCCGGCAAGGAAAAUGGUUCAUGCAUUAGGUAAGGAAUUUUUUUCUGGGAUGAAACUUAUCGUUUUUGAAUUUUUACGGAUGAAGUAAUUUGUAGAUAUUUUCCUGAGGUGGAAAUAAUGAGCAUUUUGAAGGCUUUUCAUUCAUCAUCUGUUGGGGCCAUCAUGGUAGAACCCACAAAACUUACAAGAUUCUGUAGUGUGGGUAUUAUUGGCCUACGAUCUUUAAGAAUUCUCAUGACUAUGUGCAAGAGUGUCACCAGUGUUUGCAUCAAGUUAAUAUUUCAUGAUACCAUAAACUCCCCAUGAUACCUAUUUUAGGGUUAGAGUUGUUUGUUGUAUGGUGAAUUAACUUCAUGCAUCUUUCUGAAAGCUCCAUGUAAUGAAAUGUAUUUUGGUGGCAGUUGAAUAUCUAUCUAAAUGGGUGGAAGUGGUAGCACUCCCUAAUAAUGAAGGUACAAGUGUCACCUCUCUUUUAAAGAAAAAUAUUUUUUCUCAAUUUGGCACUCCACGUGUAAUUAUUAGUGAUAGUGGGUCUCAUAUCCACUAGCAUUUAUUUAAGUCCCUAUUUGAGAAAUAUGCUAUAAAUUAUAAGGUGGGAACACCAUACCAUCCUCAGACAAAUGGGCAUGUUAAGGUCUCCAAUAGAUAGAUCAAGUCCAAAUUGGCAAAGAUUGUGAAUUCCAACAAGACUUACUAGUCUAGGAAGUUUGAUAAUGCACUGUGGGCCUAUUGAACAACUUUUAAGACAACCAUAGGUGCCAUCCUAUAUCAAGUUGUGUACGGAAAGGCAUGCCACUUGCCAGUCAAACUUGAGCAUAAGGAAAUAUCGUAAUUGAAAAAGCUAAAUUUAGAGUGGAAUGAUGCAUCUAUAUUUAGAUUGAACAAGUUUAAUAAGUUUCAUGAAUACCAACCUCCGUAAUUAUGAGACUUCUACCAUAUACAAAUAAAUAAUAAAGUUGUUUCAUGAUAUGAAUAUUUAUAAAAGAAUGUUUGAAUCCAAUGAUUUGGUCUUGUUGUAUAGUUUAAGACUUCUCUUGUUUCCUGGCAAAUUAAAGUCAAAGUGGCAUGGACCAUUCAUGGUUCUAUUGAUAUGGAGCAUAAUGGUAAAGAUCCAUUUAAGGUGAAUGGGCAGCGGGUGAAGCUUGAGUAACCAAGGAAAUUAUGUCAUGCCACAACAUUACAUAAGGCUCUGCAUGAGAGACAACCCAUGGACUGGUUAGUGAAGUAUUAGCAUCCAACCUAGCCACAUCUUAACAUGACAUUAAAUCAAUCCCUAUGUUGGAGACAACACAUUUUUUGUAUUAUUAUAUGAUAGGGUAAUUUGUGUGUUCAGCGUGCAGGGCUAGAUAUUAUAGAAAAAUACCAAAAAAAAUUAUGUUUCCAGGUCCCCACGAAUCUCCUAUUGAGUCAUGAUCACUCCUAAUGACUUGUUAUCGAGCUUAGGCCACUCUCAGGAAUUUGGUCUCUAGAGUCAUAAUGAUUCUCAGAAUGAGUCAUUGUUAGUGAUAAGGACUUAUUAUGAUGAGUCAUUAUGAGUGGUGACCUAUGUAAGGUUCCAUUUAUCAUGUGGGAGGGUCGAGUGGGAGGAAGGAGGGGGAGGGAAGAGGAGUCAAUGACUAAUUAGUGGUAAUUAGUCGUAAUGAUUGACUUAUUAUUAGUCCCGACAUUGCGGGCCUACUGGAUUAGCCCGAUGUGUAAUCAGUAUUUUAAAACCAAAAUUAACUCCCAUUAUUGAUUUUAUUCCCAUUUGAGACAUUAAGACUCCAUCUAUUCUCUAAAAUCGUUCUAUUAUCAUUUAAAGAGAACUCUAAAUUCACCCCUAUCAUCAUAUUCAAAUAAUCCAACUCUCUAAAGGUUAAAACUCUCAAGGACUAGGGCUACACAACUUCAAGGAAUUUGUGUUCAAGGAAUCUAAAAACAACAAAUCAAGUAAGUUGAAUGUUCUUAAUUUUUAAGUUAGUAGUUCAAUAUGGUUCAAAAUUUCAUAAAUUCAUUAAUUACACUAUGUUCAAAAUAUAAAAAUUGUCCUUAUGAUGUGCUAUAGAAAUAUAACACUUUCGACGCUUAAAACGAAGAACAUAUUCUAGUUUCUGAGUCCUAUUUGAUAAAUAUGAUCCAUUUUGGGUAUGUUUUGCUAGAAACCAUGAUUUGAAUGAUAAUUUCAUGAAAAUGGUGAAAAUGGUGUUUUUGUCCACUUUGGGAGCGAUUAUUGAUGAUUGGGAUAUUUUUUGUCUUGAUCGUGAUCAAUGUAUGUUCGAGAUUCGAAGUAGAGGUGAUAAAUCGACUCCGGAAACCUACUAAGUAAACCUAUGGACCACAUGUUGAGCUAUAGAACUCAAGUAGACAAAGCGGGUAAUAGAAAUUCCAAAAUACCGUGAGUCAACAUGUAGGAAAAUUUCAAUCUAGUACCUAUGGUUGGUACCUACGCCUAGGGCAGACUGUAGGUACAACCCGCAGUCAAGAACAAACAGCAAGUACAAGGAGUGGCUAGCCACUAACCCUGAUUUCUCCUAUUCUGUUUAGGCUUUGUCUUUAGGGUUUUCUCUUGUACAAUAAAUACCCUUGAUUUACUUUUUAUUAGAGUUUCGCCACAUUCAAUAUUUAAAAACAUAUUUUUGUUUCAAGGUCCAUCUUUGAUCUCGAGAUUUCAUUGUAUUGACUUUGCUUAAUUAUUUAGUUUAUAGUUGUGGGUUUCUUUCAUCUUAUCAUUAUGAUUUCAUCUUUUCUUUCCAAUAUGAAUGUAAUUGAUCUCUUCCUAAAUAUGAGCAUCUAAAACCCAUAGCUAGGCUUGUGGAAAUCCUGGUACAUUGACAAAGUNNNNNNNNNNNNNNNNNNNNNNNNNNNCCAUACUCAUGGCAUAUAUUGCAUUAUCUUUGAUAUGAUUGAUUUCUUAAUGGUUGUAGGAUCCCUCCUAGAUAUUACUACUUUAUAAAAUAAAGGGGUAAUAACUAGGAAAAGAUAAAAAAAAAAAAAUUAGUGAGCUAAUAGUCGAUCCGUUGCAUCACAACGGUAUAUCUGAAUGAUUAUUAGCCUUUAUCUAAUAACUUAAGACUCAAAAGGUGAUAGUUAAUUAGGACCAGGGUGAGGGUUAGUAAUGUGAUAUUCGAAAACUCAAUAGUAAAGAGUGAAAUCCUUCUACUCAUCCAAAAGACUAUAGGAGAUACAUAACUUAUCGUCUCUAAGAUGGUAGGAGAACACACAAUCCUAUUGACUGAUUUUCAACCAAGUUAAUAUUGUUUUAUGUUCGAGACUACUACAAACAAAUCCCCCAAUUACUUUGCUAUUCUGCCAGCAAACUGUAACUACUAAGAUCUUUCAAACCACGUGUUCCUUUGGGAUUCUACCCAACCUAAGUUGGUUUACUAUAUCUUGACAAAGAUCGUAUCAUCACCUAGAAAGAGGUGUUUGUUGGACAUCAUCAAGGAAAUUUACGCCAUUGUCAUUGAACACAGUGUUGAUUUGUAGAUUAAGGUUAUUGCAGUUUUUGGGUUUUUAGUUUUUCUUUUUUUUCUUAGUUGGGCACACACCGAUGUAUGCCUAGAACAUGGAGUAGUAGCAAUCCCUUACUCUCGAUGAAUCCGAAUCCAAAGAGGAUCCUACAAACACCUGGUAGGAUAUUUUAGCCAAAAAAAUGUGAUAAUCUAGAACGGGUUUGUGAUAUUGUGCCUCCUACCGAUGGUGUACCAGAUAUUGUUGAUCUUUAUACUAAUGAACUUUUAGGUCAAAUAGAAGCUAAAAGGAGAACAAGGAAGAAUCUAGGAGGAUAGAUACGGAGGAUGAUCUAGAUGAGCUGAGACAAGAAGCAGACCACCAAGCAACACUUGGUGGUAAUUAGAACAAAGAUAGAGGUGACCGUGUUUAAGUAAUUCCAAUAUAUUAGUAUGUGAAACCAAAUAUAAAUGAUGAGGAGGAUAUGUGAUAUGUUUAGCCAACAGAGAAUGGAGCCUUAGUCCGUCCUGUUUUUCCCCCAAGCAUAAAAUUUGACAUCACGAGUGUCAUGAUCCAACUUUUAUAUUCAGAGGGUGUGUUUGUGGGAUUACCUACCGAUGAUGCGAAUUUGCACCUCACAAAUUUCCUUGAAACUAUAACUCAUAUACCAAUCCAAGGGUAAAUUAGUAUGCACUUAGAAUAAGGCGUUUCCCCUUAUCACUUAUAGGUGAAGAAUUUUUAUGGUUAGAAAAAUAUCCAAGAGGCUCUAUCACUACUUAGAGUGUGUUGCGUAGGAAAUUAUUAAAUAGGUUCUUCCGUCCAUCAAGGAUGAGAUUUUUAAUUUCAGGUUGUUAUAGUUACAAUCCAUGGAUGAGGUUUGGUUCGGGUUUAGGAAGAAGUUGAACUUGGUGCCUAAUUAGCAUUAUUCAAGGAAAAUCUUGUUGGAAAUAUUCUACAGAACCCUGAGCAUUGGCUCCAGAGCCAUGGAAGACACCAUCUCUUGAUGAGAUUUUAUGAGACUACUCUAGAUGGUAGUUUCAAAAUGUUAGAUCGGAUCUCACUCACUAACUGAGGGUGGAAAACUCGAGAGACUGAGAGGGGAUCUGGAACUUAUGCUAUUGGUGCUUUCUAUGAUAAGAUAUUAGAUGAUGAUAUAGUAGUGCAAGAAAUUAGGGUGCUCUUCCAGUUCAUAUGAGCCUAAAUUUGAAGUGUAAGCUAACUACCUAGAUCGUUAGAUAGUGGGUUUCUGAGCCAAAGUUUGAAGGAAACAAGGUAGGAACUAUUAUUAUAGGUACAAAGACUAUAACAGAGAGCGAUAUAGUGACUGGAGGAAGAAGGAUGACUAUAGAGAGAAGGGAGAUAGAUAUACUCCACCUGGUAGGUAUAAUGUAAAAUCUAGAAUGAAAGAGAUGUUUGUUAAAUUUGUGAAUGGUUAAGGAAAUCAAGAGACUAGCCUUAAAGACAUUAAGGCUAAUAUUUAAUGAUAGACCCAGAAGGUUGAGUCAUAUGCCACUACUAUCAAGCAGCUGGAGCACCAAUUUGGGCAGAUGUCAGUAACUUUGAACGAGAGGCAGUCGAGGACCCUUUCAAGCAAUAUGGUUUAAAAUUCAAAAAACAACAGUCACAUACUUACUAUUAACACAAGGAGUGGUAUCACAGCUAUGGAUCCCGUAAUGCCUGCUACAAAAGUUGUUGAUGCUAAUACAUAUGGUGCUUAGCUAGAAAAGGUAGCAGGUGAUAGAGAUACAAUUGCUAAUGGUAAAGGUAAGUUCCUAGUCAUUGAGCCUGAGGUAAGUCAAAUUUUGUGGUCACCCCACUUUUUCCUCAGCGACUGAUGCAGAAGAAAGAGGAAGGUAAGUUCAAAUAGUUCAUUAUGAUGCUGAGAGAAUUGAGUUUGAACAUACCUCUUCUUGAGGAAUUAGAGAAGAUGCCUGAAUAUGCCAGGUUCAUGAAACAGUUAGUCACAAGAAUGAAAGGAGAAACUUUUGAGGAUAUUAAGGGUGUUCACUAUAGAAGUGCAGUCACUACUAGAUCCUUGGCGUAGAAAAAGGCUGAUCCAAGAGAAUUCACUAUUCCAUGUACUAUUGGGUCAUCCAGGUUUUCUCGAUACUUCUGUGAUUUAGGGGCCAUCAUUAAUUUGAUGUCACUUGACUUAUUAAAGUAACGAGGCUUAUACCCUCUAGAACUGACUUUGAUGUGAAUAUUGAUGGCUAACUGCACAAUGAACAAGCCUAUGGGAAUCUCUUUUUAUGUGAUUGUAAGGGUGGACAUAUUCAUUUCCUUGGUUGGAUUUGUCAUCUUGUACUGUGAGGUUGACACCGCGAUGCCCAUAAUUUGGGAAGACCAUUCAAGACCACAGAAAGUACUUUAUUUUAAUACAAAACAGGGAGCUUAGAUUCUUUGUCAAUAGUGAGGAGACAAAGUUCAACAUCGAAAAGUCCAUAAAGCAGUCAACUGACAUGAGGGUAGUGUCGGUGAUAGAUUAUAUUGAUGACCCAAGAGGAUAUCCCUAUAGGUAUUUUGUUGAGUUCUGAGUAGCCAAGAUAUCUGCGUCAUUCCAUAAUGUUAAAUCAAGGCUUCCUGGGAGGCAACCCAUGGGCUUGUUAGUGAAGUUUAAGAAACCAACAUAUCCCAUCAUUUUGCAAAGUUAAAUCAAGCGCUGAGUAAGAGAAAACCCACUAUAUCGUAGUGAUUACGUUUUUGUCGUUUUUUCUCUUAUAGGUUUUUAACUUUUGGACCAAACAUGGAAUAUGGUAAACAUAGCUACAUUCAUCCAUUUUAAGGUAACAGGACCGUGUGAUCAACCUAUCAUGAUCACAAGUUCCAUACGCUAAGUUGAGGAAACAAAUUGAAAGGUCAAAAUUCUAAGGAUGAAAAAUGGUAAAUUGUAGACUUUGGCAUCUAAUUUUAAUUUUGGGACCUAAAAUAUAGGUUACGGGACCAUAAGUAUCUUGAAAAAUGUCUCCACGCCAUGUUCUAGUUGCAAAAAUAUGGGCCAAAGAUUUUGCUCGACAUCUGCGCCAUGUACCCAACAGUGGGUAGGUGCCGUGAAUAAGUAAAAAAUUGGACCACUUUUUAAUUACAAUUUUGGGCCCACCAAAAUUUAAAUAUGGCCUAUUGUAGCUCCCCGCCUAUAUAAAAAUUAACCAACCCUACACUGAAUAAAAGGAGAGAUUGACACUAGUUUGAGAUACCAACUUGUCCCAAAAUCUUAGAAACAAGUUUCAACCUUGGUUUUUCUUGAGUUCUUCAUUAUUCUCUUUUGGAUUUUCUUAUAAGAGGUAACUUGCUUUCCUCCUAAUUGUAAUAUAAUGCUUUAUUUAUUUUUGAAACAAGUUGAUAUGUGUAUUAAAUGGUUUAAUAUAUAGAAACUAUCAUGCUUGUGUGCGGGAUCCUUGAAAUAGCAUAAAAUAAUAAUGUAGGGCCCUGUUUCAAGGUAAUAUGAUAAGUAAGGCCCUGAUCGAAAGUUGAACUUGAAUGAAUGAAAGUAAUGCCAUGAGUAGAACUUGUUUGUUUUCUUUGAACGUCAUGAUUUAUUAUUAAUGUGUAUUCAUUGGACUUGUUGGGGUUUCAAAUAGGUUAUAUGGGUGUGAAAAGUAAGGAAAUAUUUGAAUGUUUUGAAUUUUGAGUUUUCCUUCAACUUUCACUAUUGCUAACUUUUAUUGGAAACUAAUGUCUAAUUUUUUAGGUAUAAAUGACACCUAAAGUAUCAAAGAAAUAAGAAGCUGAUACUUCGAGGAGAUAGGGUAAGUCACCUUAGCUUAGCAGUUCAGUGGAUGAGUAUUCGAGAUAGCGUCAUGUUGAUGCUACAGUUGUAGUGAACUGUAGAGUCAUAUAAGGACAGACUUGUUGGGUUGCUCAGACAUCCGUAUCCCAGACGAGGAUGAAAUCUGCAAGGAUAUCACCACCACAUACACCUCCACUCAAUGAUUAUGAUUAUGAUGAUUAGGGCAUAAAUGCUAAGUUGACUCCAUAGGAUGAUACAUAGGACCCUAGUCUGAGAAGGGGUCCCAAGAUUCUUCUGUGGAGAUUGAGUAGGAGCAGUCAUUAGCGGUGCUCCAGUAUAAGGGUACUGCCACUCAUGCACAAUAGAUAGAGGUACCCCAGUCUAAGAUGGGUACAACUCAGACAUCUAAUGUUGGACAAUAGGUACCCACACAUGCCCCAGAUACACCUCCCAAGAAAGUACAACUGAGGUGGGGUAUGGAAGGGAUGCGACAUAUUUAUGAGCUUGAUCGCACUUAUAGGGAGCAAGGUAGGCCAGGACGAUGUAGCUAUGAGGAGUACAGGAUCAACUUAUCAUGGCUGCAGAGGUUACCAUAGCUUAGGCCAACAUUUAACAAGCAUCAGCUCGGGUGGAUGACUAGGACACUCAGUUCUUAUAAUCCCGCUAUGGUGUAUGAGUUUUAUGCAUCUUAUAGAGCCAUAGUAGUCCUUCCCAUGCACCAUCAUCUAUGAUUAAUAAUAUUUUUACCACAACCAUAGCUUGAUCACACACUUGUCAGAAAGGUUAGAGUUGAUGUUAGAGAGGAGACUAUCCGUAGAGUCAUACUUCCCCAAUGUUAUAUUACACCCGCAUCUAAAGCAAAGUGCAACCAUAGAUUGAGGAUCGCACGGGAUCAUCAUAUUAUGUGGGAUGCUGAGUACAGGGCUGAGAGGCUCAACAUAGCUAGGUGGACAACCAAUUAUAUUUCACCACAAGGGGAUAAAGCCUCAUAGAUUGAGAGGACAAAUGUUAUUAAAAAGGGCCUGUUGACACUAAAGGCCAGAUUUUAGUGGUUGUGAUUCGAUAUCUCCUAAUUCCCAUGACUUCAGAUAAUGCAUUGAUAUCGGAAGGAGUUGUAUUGGCUAUCUUCUUAAUGGUUAUUUAUGAUAUUGAUUAUCUUUCGAUCCUUAGGCACGUUCUACACGAGAGAGCUUCUGGAGAGCUAACUAACCUGUCAUUUCCUUGUAUUAUAUGGAGGAUAUGUGAUUAGACUAGUGUACCUAAGUUACCAGGUAUUGAUAAGAGGGUGACUAUUACUACUAUUGUGCAGACGAAGAACCAAAAGGGUCUGACACGUUCAGGCACUACUAUUGUUAAAUCUUAGUUUGUAAUGCCCCGAAUCUAGUACCGAAAACGUUAAAUGGUGCUCAUGACCCCAAAGGACCACAAGCUUACCCAUGACUGAUAUUUGUAAUUGAGUACUAAAUAAUAUACUAUAAAUAUACAGAAUAUAACUUGUAAGGGCAUCAAGUUCAAAAAUGAACUAAUACUGAAUAUAAAAAAUGUUUGUAAUAAGGUAUAACAAUAUCCAAAAGUGAAAUAAACUAUCUGAAACAUGUUGUAGUCUGAAAGCCUCUAAACUGUUUGAAAACUGUGGAGUUGAUACAACAUAUCCCUAACUAACUCUAAACUACUGAAAUAAUAAAGUAAUAAAAUAAUCAUGUUUUCCUCGAAUGAUGAGGACUCACUGCUAGUUUGGCUACUGAACCUCUGAUCUACUAUGGAUGCUUGAGAGCUCAUACUUCAAAACCUAUGGUAUAAAACAUCAUAGCGCAAGUGUGUUAGUACAUUGAAUGUAAUGGUAUGCAACUGAGGUGGCUGUAUGCAAUGGUUCAUGUGCAUGAGCAAUACUAACUGAAUGAAUAACAUGAACGUGAGAAUACAUGCAUAAAUACGUGACUAUGAUCGAGAUAAUGAUAACAGUGACUUAUGAAUUCAGAUAAUAUGGAUUUUUUUAUAUCUGAGCACUAAUACUAGGAUACUGAAUGACUAAGUCUAUUGAGUGCUGAGGAACUGGUGUCAUAUUACUUAUAAAGGAAUGACUAUUUCUGAUAGUUCUGAUUAUAAAAAACUAGUUUGUUUGACUAUAUCUAACAGACUUUAAAUCUAAAUACUGGUAACAUUAAUUUCAUAUGAUUAAUAUACUAUUAACUAGGUGAUUGUGUCUGACAGUCCUGAAAUCUGAUUGAACUAUUUAAGUUCCAUACUUAUUGAGUGAUUGUAUCUGAAAGUCCUGAUAUAUAAAGAACUAUUUGAGUUAUAUUACUCUGACAGUUCUGAUUCUAUAACUGAAAAUGUAGGAGAAUUCAUCUAACCAUUAUGCCCUAAAUAUGAACUGGUGGGGUCUAACUUGUAACUCCAGCUUGAAGGGUGUCAGUACCGUGCCAUGAGUAAAGACAAGCUAUGAGUAAACCCUCUCUGAUAGGGAGCUCUUCCAUCAACCCCUUCUAUAAGAAAAACUAAAAUAAGAUCUAUAGUCCCUAUAUUCGUAGGGGUACAUCUCAACCUAAGAUGGCUACGUAGUUCGGGAAUGGAGGGAUUGAUACUAAGGGUCACACCCUCUACUGGCUGACAGUAUGUGUCCUUAUCCCUGGCUUCACUCGGUGCUGAAUCCGACUCCCAAAUGAAUAUACACAGAACUGAUUACCUAGUUCAUACUAGGCUGGACUGAUCUGUUAUUGAUUUUACUAAUUAACUAGAUUGAAUUGAGUUUACUGGAUUUUCGUUAACUGAUGGAAUGCUACUGAAUUUUAUUAACUGAUAGAAUACUGUUAAGUUCUGCUAGCUGACUGAGUUUACUAAGGUCUGAACUGAAUACUACUGAGACAUGAUAACUGACUGAGAUCACUGAGAUUCCUAAGAUUACUGAGAUUACUGAAUGGGACUAGACUGAUACUGAGUUUACUGAGUUUUCCUGAGUCACAUGACUGACUGAAUUUUACUGAUCACAGCUUGAUUGAGAGUAUCAUGAAAACAUGACACUGGCUCUAGCCACACAACUAAAUUGUCAUGUAUUUAAUGCCCCCAGGACUUGAUAGCAUAAAAGUAUAUCAUGGCACAAGCUUGAAAUCAUAACAAUGGCUACAUAUAUCCAUAAUUCAUUGACUAAGACAUUUCAUCAAAUAGCUUAUUUGCACAAACUUAUACAUGAAUGGGGAUUUCAUAAUAACAAGCUAUGAAGGCACUAUUUUCUUCACAUAGGCAUUUUAUCAAACACAUGGGGAGCAUUCUUUGGUUAUACAAUAAUCAAUAAAUCAAAUUAUCUUGGCUUCAUAAUUAAACUUGGAAAUUGAAGGUUUUCUCAUGAAUAUUAUGCAACACAUCACAUACUAGGAUCAAUCAUUGGAACAUGAAAUUUUAAAUAUGAAUCAAAACCUAACAUCAACAUGAACAUGAAUUUCAAUUCAACUAAAUCAUGAACAUUCAUAAAUACAAAAUCUUUAGAUUUUGAAAAUAGAUUCUUCUUCAUCCAGGGUGAAAGUGACCUAUGAAUCAACACUUUACAUACCUGGAAAUCUAAAUGCUCUAAGUUCUUGAGAUAGUCCCAGUAGUUGGGACCAAGAGAGGUCACUUACAUAAUUUGCAGGAUCCUGUUAUGACAGGGGAGGAGGACCUUAAAAUGGCCAGAUAUGAUUAGUUAGAGACUGCAUUUGUAGAUAAGAAGAGGCUUCAUUCUAUAGUAUUAGGUGUAACAUCCAGUAUUGCACUACCACUUCCAUCUCCUUUGUAAUACCCCGAGAAAUUUUUCAUUAAAAUUUUUGGCGUAAACGUGUUCGAUUCUAUCUUAUUGAAUGAAUUAUAAAUUUUUUCCGUAUGGAAUGUCUUAGAUUAUGACCCACCAUUGCGUAGAGUAUCAAAUAAUCUUUCCAAUGAUAUGUGGAUCAUCCAAAACGGACACUCGAGCGAUGAGUUAUGAACAUUUCGAUCGAACUGUGAAUAGUAGUGAACAGUAAAACGUGCAGGAAAAAGUACUGAGGCCUAGCGUAUUUUUACUCCAACUUUAAAAGAUCAUAAAUUCUUGUACAUAAUAAUCUGGGUGAUCUACUAUAUAUCAACUGAAAUCUCUGCGAGUCCUCUUUCCAAUGAAAUUGGUUUCAUCCAAUUUUUCUAUCGAAGAAAAAAGUUAUGGUUGAUCUACUUCAACCUAUCAAAAGCAAAUUUUUGGGUCAACUUCAAAUGCUCAUAACUCCUCGUACAUAAUUUUUUGGGUGAGAUACUAUAUAUCAAUAGAAAGAUAUGAGAGUACUCUUUCUAAUGAAAUUUGUUUCAACCAAUUUUGAUAUCGGAGUAAAACGUUAUGGUUUAUCUACUUUGGACUAUCAAAACAGUCCACCAAAGGACAGAUUCAAGAAUUAUUUGAUUUUUAGGGGCGUUUUGGUCAUUCCCCCUUACCCAAAAUCCAUCCAAACCCUAUAUUAAAACCUAUUAGAAGCAUUAUAUGUUAUAUUUCAUCAAAUUCUCUCAAACAGAAAACCCUAAACUCCUACAUCCAUUUUCAAGAACCUCUAAAGUUCACCAUUAAUUCUGCAAAUUUAUUCAAGAUUCCAAGUUUCUAGUUCAAGAACUUCAAGAACCUCCAAAGUGCACCAUUAAUUCUGUAAAUUUAUUCAAGAUUCUAAGUUCCUAGUUCAAGAACUCCAAGAACCAACAUUUAAAGGCACGAUUAACAUCUCAAAAAUGAGUAUCGAUCUAAAGUUCAUCAUUCAAGCUAUGCGUGAUUUUUAACAAGAACUAUCCUUUGUUCUUUUGCUCAAAAGUAAUUUUCUUUACAAAGACAUGAUUUUUAUUUAAUUUCUUACAAAUUUGAAGUAUGAAUACAUAUAUUAUGAUGAUCAUUAUGAAAUCUUGAUGUUUAUAAUUUUGAAAGAUGAAUUUACAUUUGUGAAGAUACAAAGCAUGAAUCUUGAAUGAUAUUUAUCAUGAUUUUUAUAUUUGGGUCGUGAAUCCCCAUUGGAAAUUGUAUUUUUUUAGAAAGUGUGUUAUAAGCACGUUGAUAUUGAAUAUUUGAGAUAUUUUGAAUGAUUUGACCUUUUGUUCUUAAUGGAAUUAUUUUGAACUCGAGUGUGAAAGAAAUCCACAACGUGGUUGAUUUUUAUAAAUGGGAAGCAUGAUGGCUCCCGAUGUACAUUUAUAUAUUAUUGAAAUUGUUUUGUUGUGGAUUGUCUUUGAAAUGGUUUGAGCUAAGUCUGGGAGAAAUCUUUAGCAUAGAGUGUGAGGUAUAAAGCGACCUUACUUUCCUAGAACUACGUGCCCCAGUAGGAGUGAUCCUGAGGCUGAUUUAUAUAGUGAUCACUAGUUUGUGUGGAUUUUAUAUCGAUAGUCCUUCUCUGAUGGCAAGGAUAAGACGGCUCUCCCCAACGUGGGUUGUACGUUGGACUCCAUGUAGCUCACAUGGUUUAUAUUGGUUAUAGGAUCUCCCAGUGUGUGUGUGUUUCCUUAUGUCUAUAGUGAAUAGUAAAGUGAUUUGAAAGUGGAAUUGUGAAAGUUAUUCUUUCAAAAGAUUUAAAUGAUAUUUACAUUAUGAGAAUUGAUAUUCUUGAUGAACUGAAAGUGAUUGACAAAUUAUAUAAAGACUCACAUGUGUUAUUGUACUUAUUUCAUCCUCUCAUGAUUAUGAUUAUUUUCUUCGGGCUAUGUGAGUCUUUCAUACAUCUUGCAUAUUUCUUAUUAAUAUUUAUCAUGAUGAUGUUUAUAAAACUGCAUACAUCCCCAUAUACUCGGUUCAUUUCUAUGGUACUAACCCACAUCUUUGGAUGUGAGCUACAUUUUUUCAGAAUGUUGGUUCAGGUGAUUAGUUCCAGGUUUGACAGUGAUUCUUCAGGCAUGCUGUUCUACAUCCUCUGUCGUGGUGAGUCCUCAUGUUCUAAGGGCAUGAUGUAUGAUGUUGGUUUCACGAAAUUGUUUACAUUUGAUAACUGAGUAUGAGUCAGUUGGGGCAUGUCUCAAUGGCUCGCUGGUUUUAUUGAUUUUCUUAGAGGCUUGUUAGACUAGUAUAGAUGUUGGGAGUUGACUAAUAAGUCAUAUUAUUUUAUCUUUCUAAAAUUCUUUUAUUCUUGGAUGAUGAUUACUCUAUUGAUAUUUAAGGGUUAUUUAUGGAAACCCCAUUGAUUUGUGUUAAACUGAAUGAAAAUGCCUCAAAGGGUUAACUUAGGGCUAUACGUAGCCUUAAGCACCGUGUGAUGCUCCGAGACCCAUUUUUUAGGGCGUUACAAACUUGGUAUUAGAGCCUAAGUGUUUAAGGUGUCCUAAGGAGUCUGACAAGCCACGUUAAGUAGAGUCUUAAUCAUCCGUGUGUAGCAUGCCACAUCUAUGAGCAAGAGGCUACAAGACGUUUUAGGAAAAUGUGUGAUUCCUUCUUUUAGAAGUCUAUCAUGCUUAAAGUAUCUCUCUCUGCUAUUGAUUCACGCUCUCCUCUUUUAGAAAUAUGCCUCCAUUAGUCUUGUUGGAUAAUCUAAUUGAGUUAGACAUUGUAGAUUUUGAUGUGAUUCUUGGUAUGGACUUGCUGUAUUCUUCUUAUGCCUCUAUUAAUUGUCGGACUCGAGUGGUCAAGUUUCAGUUUUUGGGUGCAUCCAUGUUUGAGUGGUACGGUAAUUCUGUGUCACCCAAGAGUUAUUUUAUCUCUUACCUCAAAGCUAGAAAGCUUAUUUCUAAGGGGUGUAUUUACUAUUUGGUUAAAGUCAAAGACACUAAGUCUGAGACUCCAACUCUCCAGUCUGUUAACGUCGUUAGUGAGUUUUCUGAUGUCGUUUCGGAUGAUCUCCCAGGGAUACCUCCUGAUAUAUAGAUAGAUUUUAGGAUUGAUCUUCUUCCCGAUACUCAUCCUAUUUCUAUUCUUCCUUACCAUAUGGCCCCUGCUAAACUUAAGGAGUUGAAAGAGCAACUCAAAGAUCUACUAGAUAAGGGUUUCAUAAGGCCCAGUGUUUCUCUUUGGGAUGCUCCUAUAUUGUUUUUGAGAAAGAAAGAUAGCUCUUUGCGUACGUGCAUUGAUUAUCGCCAACUGAAUAAAGUGACCAUACAAAAUAAGUACCCCCUUUCGAGAAUAGAUGAUUUGUUUGACCAAUUGCAAGGUGCAAGUUAUUUCUCAAAGAUAGACUUUCGUUUUGGCUAUCAUCAACUCAAAGUUAGGGAGUGUGACAUUCUAAAAACCAUUUUCUGAAUUCGUUAUGGCCAUUUUGAGUUUCUUGUUAUAUCUUUCGAGUUAACUAAUGCCCCAGAAGCUUUCAUGGACCUCAUGAAUCAAGUGUUCUGACCAUAUUUGUAUAUGUUUAUCAUAGUGUUUAUCGAUGAUAUACUGGUGUACUCCUAUAGUGAGGAUGAACAUUCUGAUCAUCUCUGAACUGUCUUGCAAACUCUUAGAGAUCACAAGUUGUUUACCAAGUUCAGUAAGUGUGAGUUUUGGCUAAGGUCAGUUGCUUUUCUAGGUUAUAUCAUUUCUUUCAAGUGUAUUAGAGUUGAUCCCCAAAAGACCGAAGCUGUUAGAAAUUAGCCUAUAAUUAUUUCUCCAACUGAUAUCUGAAGUUUCUUGGGUUUAGCUGCUCUUACCACUGUUUUGUUGAGGGUUUCUCCUCUAUAGCGUCUCCUAUAACUCGGUUGACCCAAAAGAAAGUGAAGUUCUUGUGGUCCGAAUCUUGUGAGAAGAGUUUUCAGGAGUUGAAGACUCGACUCACUUUAGCCCCUAUUUUGACUUUGCCUAAUGGUAUUGAUGGUUUUNNNNNNNNNNNNNNNNNNNNNNNNNNNNNNNNNNNNNNNNNNNNNNNNNNNNNNNNNNNNNNNNNNNNNNNNNNNNNNNNNNNNNNNNNNNNNNNNNNNNNNNNNNNNNNNNNNNNNNNNNNNNNNNNNNNNNNNNNNNNNNNNNNNNNNNNNNNNNNNNNNNNNNNNNNNNNNNNNNNNNCUUUGAAAAUCUGGAGACACUAUUUGUAUGGUGUCCAUGUUUAUGUUUUCACUGAUAUAAGAGUCUGCAGUAUGUGUUUACCUAAAGAGAAUUGAAUCUUAGGCAGAGACGAUGGUUAGAAUUAUUAAAGGACUAUGAUAUGAGUGUGCUGUACCAUCCGAGCAAGGCCAAUGUUGUGGAGGAUGCCUUAAGUAGAGUGUCCAUGGGUAGUAUUUUGCAUGUGAUAGAAGGUAAGAAAGAGUUGGCUCGUGAUGUACAUCGUUUGGCUAGAUUGAGGGUUAGGUUGUUGAACUCUACUGAAGGUAGUAUGGGGUUCAGAGUAGUUCUGAAUCCUCCUUAGUUUCGGAAAUAAAGGAAAAGCAAUACUUAGAUGCUAGUUUGGUCAGACUGAAGGAGUUAGUCAAGGACAAAAAAGUAAAGGUGUCCUCCAAAGGGGGAGAUGGUGUGUUGAGAUCGCAGGGUAGAUUAUGUGUCCCGAAUGUUGAUGAUCUAAGACACAGGAUUAUGGCUGAAGAGCACGGGGCGCGAUAUUUUAUUCAUCCUGGUGCCACCAAGAUAUACCGAGACUUGCGGGAAAUCUAUUGGUAGAGUGGCAUGAAGAAAGAUAUAGCAGCAUUUGUAGCUAAGUGUUCAACAUACCAAUAGGUUAAGGUUGAACACCAAAGACCUGGUAGUAUGUUGCAAGAGUUUAGUAUUCCCACCUGGAAGUGGGAAGAGAUAAAUAUGGACUUCAUGAUUGGUUUACCUCCUUCCCAAUGCCAUCAUAAUUCCAUUUGGGUUGUGGUUGAUAGGUUGACUAAGUCUGCUCUUUUCUUACCAGUUCAUACUUCAUAUACUGCUGAGGAUUAAACUAGAUUGUAUAUUCGAGAGCUAGUCAAACUGCAUGGAGUUCCCUUGUCUAUCACUUUUUAUAGGGGUACUCAAUUCACUUCACAAUUUUGGAAAGCUUUUCAGAAGGGUCUUGGUACCCAAGUGCUUUUGAGUUCUGCUUUUCAUCCGCAGACCGAUGGUCAGGCUGAGCGGACCAUCNNNNNNNNNNNNNNNNNNNNNNNNNNNNNNNNNNNNNNNNNNNNNNNNNNNNNNNNNNNNNNNNNNNNNNNNNNNNNNNNNNNNNNNNNNNNNNNNNNNNNNNNNNNNNNNNNNNNNNNNNNNNNNNNNNNNNNNNNNNNNNNNNNNNNNNNNNNNNNNNNNNNNNNNNNNNNNNNNNNNNNNNNNNNNNNNNNNNNNNNNNNNNNNNNNNNNNNNNNNNNNNNNNNNNNNNNNNNNNNNNNNNNNNNNNNNNNNNNNNNNNNNNNNNNNNNNNNNNNNNNNNNNNNNNNNNNNNNNNNNNNNNNNNNNNNNNNNNNNNNNNNNNNNNNNNNNNNNNNNNNNNNNNNNNNNNNNNNNNNNNNNNNNNNNNNNNNNNNNNNNNNNNNNNNNNNNNNNNNNNNNNNNNNNNNNNNNNNNNNNNNNNNNNNNNNNNNNNNNNNNNNNNNNNNNNNNNNNNNNNNNNNNNNNNNNNNNNNNUGGUAGUGGAUUCCUCUGUGAGUGCUCACAUUCAAGAAAAUCUUUCUUUUGAUGAGAUUCCUAUUGAGAUUCUUGAUUUCAGUGUGCGAAGACUAAGGAACAAAGAAGUUCCCUAAGUCAAUGUGUUGUGGCGAAACCAAUCUGUUGAGGGUGCAACUUGGGAAACUGAGGCGGAUAUGCGAUCGAAGUACCGGCACCUAUUUUCUACGAACUCCGAUCCAGCUGAAGGGACCGUUCUUUCCUAAAUCAUGUACUUUUGAUAAAAGUUGCAGCAGUUCAGCUGUCAUUUAUUAUGUGUUCAACUGUAGUUUCUUAAAUUUAUGCACUCUAUGUUGCAUUCGGAAUGAGAAAUGAUGUGGUGAUGAGUCUAAUGAAUGGUUUCAUCUGUAUGCUCUAUUCCCUAUCUAAUCUUGGUAUGUCUAGCAUCAUUCGAGGAUGAAUGUUUCCAGGGGGGAUGAUGUAAUAGCCCGGGAAAUUUUUCAUUGAAAUUUUGGGCGUAAACAUGUUGGGUUCUAUCUUAUAGAAUGAAUUCUCAAUUUUUCUGUGUGGAAAGUCUUAGAUUAUGACCCACCAUUGUGUAGAGUAUCGAAUACGAUUUCCAACGAUAUGUGGAUCAUCCGAAACGGACACUCGAGCGAUGAGUUAUGAACAUUCCGAUCGAACCAUGAAUACUAGUGAACAGUAAAAUGUGCAGGAAAAAGUACUGAGGCCUAGUGUAUUUUCACUCCAACUUUAAACAAUCAUAAAUCCUUGUACAUAAUAAUCUGGGUGAUUUACUAUAUAUCAACGGAAAUAUCUGGGAGUCCUCUUUCCAAUGAAAUUGGUUUCAUCCAAUUUUUGUAUCGGAGAAAAAAGUUAUGGCCGAUCUACUUCAGCCUAUCAAAAGCGGAUUUUUGGGUCAAAUUCAAAUGAUUAUAAAUCCUCGUAUACAAUGAUCUGGGUGAGAUACUAUAUAUCAACGGAGAUAUAUGAGAGUUCUCUUUCUAAUGAAAUUGCUUUCAUCCAAUUUGGAUAUCGGAGCAAAAUGUUAUCGUUGAUCUACUUCAGACUAUCAAAACAGUCCACCAGAGGACAGAUUCGAGAAUUAUUUUAUUUUUAGGGGCGUUUUGGUCACUCCCCCUCACCAAAAAUCUGUCCAAACCCUAUAGUAAAGCCUAUUAGAAGCAUUAUAUGUUAUAUUUCAUCAAAUUUCCUCAAAAAUAAAACCCUAAGCUCCUACAUCCAACUUCAAGAACCUCCAAAGUUCACUAUUAAUUCUGCAAAUUUAUUCAAAAUUCCAAGUUCCUAGUUCAAGAACUUCAAGAACCUCGAAAGUUCACCAUUAAUUCUGCCAAAUUUUUUUAAGAUUCGAAGUUCCUAGUUCAAGAAAUCCAAGAACCAUCAUUCAAAGGCACGAUUAACAUCUCAAAAACGAGUACCGAUCUAAAGUUCAUCAUUCAAGGUAUGUGGGAUUUUUCCACAAGAACUCUCUUUCGUUCUUGUGCCCAAAAGUAAUUUUCCUUACAAAGGCAUGAUUUUUUACGAAUUUGAAGCAUGAACCCAUAUCAUAUGAUGUUUCUUAUGAAAUCUUGAUGUUUAUAAUUUUGAAAGAUGAAUUUACAUGCGUGGAGAUAUAAAGCAUGAAUCUUGAACGAUAUUUAUCAUGAUUUUAAUAUUUGGGUCGUGAAUCCCCAUUACAAAUUGUGUUUUUUUGAGAAAGUGUGUGUUAUAAGCAUAUUGAUGUUGAAUAUUUGAGAUAUUUUGAAUGAUUUGAACUUUUGGUCUUAAUGGAGUUGUUUUGAACUCAAGUGUGAAAGAAAUCUACAACGUGGUUGAUUUUGAUAGAUGGGAAGCAUGAUGGCUCCCGAUGUAUAUUUAUAUAUUACUAAAAUUGUUUUGUUAUGGAUUGUCUUUGAAAUGAUUUGAGCUAAGUCCGAGAGAAAUCUUUAGCACUGAGUGGGAGGUAUAAAGCGACCUUACUUCCCUAGAACUACGUGCCCCAUAGGAGUGAGCCUGAGGAUGAUUUAUAUAGUGAUCACUAGUUUGUAUGGAUUUUAUAUCGAUAGNNNNNNNNNNNNNNNNNNNNNNNNNNNNNNNNNNNNNNNNNNNNNNNNNNNNNNNNNNNNNNNNNNNNNNNNNNNNNNNNNNNNNNNNNNNNNNNNNNNNNNNNNNNNNNNNNNNNNNNNNNNNNNNNNNNNNNNNNNNNNNNNNNNNNNNNNNNNNNNNNNNNNNNNNNNNNNNNNNNNNUUCCUCUCAUGAUUAUGAUGAUUUUCUUCGGGCUAUGUGAGUCUUUCAUACAUGCUGCAUAUUUCGUAGUAAUAUUUAUGAUGAUGAUGUUUAUAAAACUGCAUAAACCCCCAUAUACUUGGUUCCUUUCCAUGGUACUGACCCACAUCUUCGGAUGUGGGCUGCAUUUUCUCGGAAUAUAGGUUCAGGUGCUCAGUUCCAGGUUCGACAAUGAUUCUUCGGGCACGCUGUUCUAUAUUCUCUGUCGUGGUAAGUCCUCAUGUUCCGAGGAUGUGAUGUCUGAUGUUGGUUUCAUGGAAUUGUUUACAUUUGAUAACUGAGUAUGAGUCAGUUGGGGCAUGUCUCAAUUUCUCGCUGGUUUUAUUGAUUUUCUUAGAGGCUUGUCAGACUAGUAUAGAUGUUGGGAGUUGAGUAAUAAGUCGUAUUUUGUUAUCUUUCUGAAAUUUUUUUAUUCUUGGAUGAUGAAUAAUCUGUUGAUAUUUGAGGGUUAUUUAUGGAAACCCCGUUGAUUUAUAUUGAACUGAAUGAAGAUGGCUCAGUAUCCCCAAGCACCGUGUGACGAUCCGGGACUCGUUUUCUGGGGCGUUAUAGCCUUCACCAACUAUUAUACCCCCAUUUGAGGAGGUUCCUGACUUGGACACUUAGUGUGUCCUAGGUAUGUUCUCACUUCCCUAUGUUUUGUUUUGUUUUAGCAUAUUGAGGAUAAAGCACUUUUAAAAUGUGGGUGGCCAUGUUAUGCCAUCGUGAGUUUUUGAUUCCAUUCUUCUUUUCCUAUAUGUAGUAGUAUGACUAUAGAACCGACAUUUCUAAGAUAAUUAAGUAGUGUAAUGUUUUUUGUUAAUUAUGUUAUAUGUAAUUAGGUGAUAUACAAACAAAAUAAGAAAUUGAAAACUAAUCUAUGAUACAAAAACAAAAGGUAAAGAUAAAUAGAGAACAAAUAGUAGAUAGGCAUAAUGAAUGACUAAAUAGAAAAUAAAGAGUGUAUCAAACCCUAAACCCUCUAUUCAAUGUCACACAAAGCACCUCUCCUACAUACACCUCAAGGGAAUUGGAUUCCCAAGCAACCUACUUUUCUAAAUGAAAUAAUCAUUACAAAUGAUUCCACACUUGCCAUCAAUGCUUGUAUCACACUUUCACAAGUUUUUACAUUCAUUAAUCAUCAAUAAACUAUCUAUUAAAUGAAAAUAAUUCCUAUUUGUAGUCAAGGAUAACUUAUUAAAUCAUAUGGGACCAAAAGUGACCUAUUUAGUAAAGAUUAAACAUAGUAGCCCACUAGGCACAUGCUUGAACAUUUGUAGAGAAAAUCGGGCACACGGGGCAUAUACCAAGGGUAUAGUGGUCUAUUUUGACCCACUUUAGCGGAUCUAGAGCAGGUUGUGUGCCCCUCCUAAUAGGAUGGGGUGCAUUACCUCCUCCAUGGGCUUUCUAUCCUCGUUUUAUCUUCCCUUGGCCUCUCUAACAUCCAUUUGAGGAGGUUCCUGACUUGGACACUUAGUGUGUCCUAGGUAUGUUCUCACUUCCCUAUGUUUUGUUUUGUUUUAGCAUAUUGAGGAUAAAGCACUUUUAAAAUGUGGGUGGCCAUGUUAUGCCAUCGUGAGUUUUUGAUUCCAUUCUUCUUUUCCUAUAUGUAGUAGUAUGACUAUAGAACCGACAUUUCUAAGAUAAUUAAGUAGUGUAAUGUUUUUUGUUAAUUAUGUUAUAUGUAAUUAGGUGAUAUACAAACAAAAUAAGAAAUUGAAAACUAAUCUAUGAUACAAAAACAAAAGGUAAAGAUAAAUAGAGAACAAAUAGUAGAUAGGCAUAAUGAAUGACUAAAUAGAAAAUAAAGAGUGUAUCAAACCCUAAACCCUCUAUUCAAUGUCACACAAAGCACCUCUCCUACAUACACCUCAAGGGAAUUGGAUUCCCAAGCAACCUACUUUUCUAAAUGAAAUAAUCAUUACAAAUGAUUCCACACUUGCCAUCAAUGCUUGUAUCACACUUUCACAAGUUUUUACAUUCAUUAAUCAUCAAUAAACUAUCUAUUAAAUGAAAAUAAUUCCUAUUUGUAGUCAAGGAUAACUUAUUAAAUCAUAUGGGACCAAAAGUGACCUAUUUAGUAAAGAUUAAACAUAGUAGCCCACUAGGCACAUGCUUGAACAUUUGUAGAGAAAAUCGGGCACACGGGGCAUAUACCAAGGGUAUAGUGGUCUAUUUUGACCCACUUUAGCGGAUCUAGAGCAGGUUGUGUGCCCCUCCUAAUAGGAUGGGGUGCAUUACCUCCUCCAUGGGCUUUCUAUCCUCGUUUUAUCUUCCCUUGGCCUCUCUAACAUCUAUUAUGCCUAUUUGAUCAUCGUAAUCAUCUAAUGGAUGCCUUUUGAUAGCCGUCAAGAAUUCAUCUAGUGUCACUUUACCCGUAAGAAUCCUCUUUAGCAACCCGAAGGCCAUUUUGAUUGUAUCAUCCCCUCCUUCUUGUAGAAGAUUCAUCCUCAAAUCUACAACCUUUAAACAUAAGAAAAGAAAACACAACCAAUAUUUCCUCAUGGCACAAGAUUUAAAUUAAAAACAUCUAUGCCACGGAAGUACACAUUUCACAUAAAACCAAUGGUCCUUUGUUAUGAAUAAAAUGAAUUCAUCAUACACUACACAAAAGUGUUGGGUAUAAGAAGCCUUAUGAAAAAAGGAAACUACCAAGUUCGUAACACACAAGUGUUUCAUUAUUUCAACAUAAGACCAUAUCAAAGAACUCCCACCUCUAUCUAAAAUAAAUCCUACAUCAAUAUAGAUGUCAUCAAAUGCAAAGAGGUAGUAAAGAAAGGUAUGAAGAAGAUGAGUCUCUUCUAAGUUGUUUCCAUACAUAAGAGUAGCAAGGUACGAAAGAAAUCUAGUAACCAAGACACUAGAAAUUUGAAUAACAAAUGAAUGAGUUAAUUCUUUAGGAUCCAUAUCACCCUUCCUCCCAAGACAAAACAUGUUUACACAAAAUGCAUUUUCAUCAUAAGAAAAAACAUAAAAAAAAAAAAGUUAGGGAAACCAUUCUCCUCAAAAUUACCCUCAAAAUUGAGGUCGCAAUAAGAUGGGACAAGACAUUUAAAGCACAUUACAUUUUUUCUAUUCAAAAAACUUCCAACAAGAAGUGUAUUCACUAAUGGAAUCAUGCUAUAAGAGAAUUAGAAAAUCUAUGAGAAACCAAUUCACUCCAUGCCAAAGGGUAUACUAAAGAAGUUGGGUAACUUAUUUUUAUGUCACUUAGCAUGCUCCUAAGAGUCUUUCUUGUUGGUUCAACUUUUCAAACCACAUAUGUGUGACAAAACAAAGUUAUACAUCAAGUACGCGCCAACGACUCUUCUAAAGGAAAUAAAUAGAUUGGGAAUUAAGAUUGUAAGGCCCACACAAUUCAAUCACCAAAGGCAAAAACCUUAAAAGUACCGUGAAGACACAAAUACUAUCAAAAUGUUACAUGAUUUCAAUUAAUUUUAUGGGUCUACUAAAUAUAAGUAAAAUAUAAUCAUGUCUUGAAGUAGUACUGUCACGACCCAAACCAGGGCCUAGCCAUGAUGACCAUUUCAAACCAUGGAGGGCCGAAACACCCCUAUCUGUCUGGUAAUCAUGCAACUAAUUCAUAUGAUCAAAGUAAUGCAGAAGAAACACAAUAAUUCGGAAACAUGGUCAUAAAUAUGAACAGGAACAAUAACGGGGAGAUAAGGUUCCCUCAACAUAAAUUAACCUCUAAACAACUGUCUACGAAAAUCCCUAACAAAUGACUGAGUCAAGUAACCGUAUAUAAACUGGGACAAGGCCCCUAGUAAACCCCAAAACUGAAUAUAAGAUAAAAGGACUACAGGACAUAAGACCUUCCGAAACAUAGAAGGCUCACCACUUGUCUCUGCAACUCUGUUUGAAUGAUCUACUGAUUCUCUUGACCACUAGGCUGGGCCUCUGAACCUAAGAGGUUGGAGAGGAGUGGGGGUCAACACAAAAGUACUGGCACGCAGAGAUAUUAAAACAAAACAUAAUAGUUUUAUAAAAUAUAGUUGAGAGCCAUUAUAAAGCAAUACCAUAUCAAAUCAUUUGAAAACAAAUGGGCGUAAUGCAAUAGUUUUUCAACAACGAUAAAAUGCAACUGAGCUAGGUGGAAUUCCCUACAUAAUUUACACCCACUAUCUAACCUCGGUUGCCGCCGAGAUUAGAGUAUAAGUGAGGGAGAGACACUCAAGACCACAAAGCAUGGUGUCUCGACCCACUGAUAGUGACCAAGAUCACUUAGCUCGGGCUCCUACCUAUAGUCCCAAUUUGGGAAUGACAUAAAGUCAAGUACACAAGAUUACUUAGCCUGGUACCAAAAUUCCAUCUCGGUAAACACGUUUUCCAGUGAUGGGCCCUUACUCUCAAAUGCCUUCUUCGAGAAUCCACCUUUCUCAUGAAAAAUCAAUGCAUUCAAAUUUCAUCUUAUUCAACCAUAUAUCAUAUUCUUUAGGGUAUCAUCAUACCCGACUUGCAAGUCCUCAAAAUCACUUCCACAUAUGCAUAACCAUGUAAAAACCAAGGUGCUUCAUAAUUUACAAGUAGUGAACAAUAUUUAUUUUAAAUUCAUGCUCUCUUUUGUUGAUCACAAUAUGAUAUGGGGUAUAAAGACAUUAUCAUCGGAAUUUGAAAGCAAUUUAUCAUUCAUAUUUAUCAAACAUCAAUGGAAAAUAUCAAAUCACAUAUGCAUCGUUUCAACCAUUGAAGUAUAUAGGCAAACAAUUCCUAUGACAUAAAGAAAAAUGACUUAGAAAUCAUAUUAAAAGCAAGCUAUUAGCAUUUGAUUGAAAACCCUCAUUUAAAAGCAUGCAUGUUCAUAAAAACUACACACAUGAGAUUUUAGGAUAACCCCACGUACCUCUAUUUCCUAGGAUAAUAGAUUUUACUUGAAGCUUGCGGAUUGGUGAUUCCCAAUAUGUAAUUAUCUUUGAAAACCUACAGUCGAAUCUUGAACUAUUUGGGUUUUUAUUUUGAAACCCUAAGGAGAAUCUUUGAGCACUUUUGAUGAAUAAAGAAGUAUUUUAGGGUCCUUGGAACUGAAUUUCGUGUUUUAGGGCUAAGUAAGGGUGGAAAAGGACCACUUUGUCCCCAAAAUGGAGUGUUUAAGUAACUAGAAAAGAAACAAUAACGGGGAGAUAAGGUUCCCUCAACAUCAAUUAACCUCUAUACAACUGUCUACAAAAAUCUCUAACAAAUGACUGAGUCAAGUAACCGUAUAUAAACUGGGACAAGGCCCCCAGUAGACCCCAAAACUGAAUAUAAGAUAAAAGGACUGUAGGAUAUAAAACCUUCCAAAACAUAGAAGGCUUACCACUUGUUUCUUCAACUCUGUCUGAAUGAUCUACUGAUUCUCUUGAUCCCUAGACUGGGCCUCUGAACCUAAGAGAUUGGAGAGGAGAGGCGGUCAGCAUAAAAGUACUGGCAUGCAGAGAUAUCAAAACAAAACAUAAUAUAUUAAAAAAAUAUAGUUGAGAGCCAUUAUAAAGCAAUUUUGUAUCAAAUCUUUUGAAAACACAUGGGCAUAAUGCAAUAGUUUCUCAACAACAAUGAAAUGCAAUUGAGCUAGGUGGAAUACCCUACAUAAUUUACACCCACUGUCUAACCUCGGUUCCCAUCGAGAUUAAAGUAUAACUGAGGGAGAGACACUCAAGACCACAAAGAAUGGUGUCUCGACCCACUGAUAGUGCCUAAGAUCACUUAGCCUAGGCUCCUACCUAUAGUCCCAAUUUGGGAAUAAGAUGAAGUCAAGUACCCAAGAUCACUUAGCCUGGUACCAAAAUUCCAUGUCGGCAAACACAUUUUCCAACGAUGAGCCCUUACUCUCAAACGCCUUCUUCGGGCAUCCACCUUUCUAAUGUAAAAUUAAUGCAUUCAAAUUUCAUCUAAUUCAAUCACAUAUCAUAUUAUGUAGGGUAUCGUCAUACCCGACUUGCAAGUCCUCAAUAACACUUCCACAUAUUCAUAACCAUAUAAAAACCAAGGUGCUUCAUCAUUUACAAGUAGUGAACAAUAUUUAUUUCAAAUUCAUGCUCUCUUUUGUUGAUCACAUUAUGAUAUGGGGUAUAAAGACAUUAUCAUCGGAAUUUGAAAGUAAUUUAUCAUUCAUAUUUAUCAACCUUCCAUGGAAAAUCUCAAAUCACAUAUGCAUGGUUUCAACCAUUGAAGUAUAUAGGCAAACAAUUCCCAUGACAUAAAGAAAAAUGACUUAGAAAUCAUAUUGAAAGCAAGUUAUUAGCAUUUGAUUGAAAACCCCCAUUUAAAAGCAUGCAUGUUCAUAAAAACUACACCCAUGAGAUUUUAGCAUAACCCCACGUACCUCUAUUUCCAAGGAUAUGAUCUUUCUUGAAGCUUGGGGAUUGGUGAUUCCCAAUAUGUAAUUAUCUUUGAAAACCUACGAUCGAAUCUUGAACUAUUUGGGUUUUUAUUUUGAAACCCUAAGGUGAAUAUUUGAGCACUUUUGAUGAAUGAAGAUGUAUUUUGGGGUCCUUCGAACUGAAUUACGUGUUUUUGGGAUAAGUAAUGGUGGAAAAGGACCAUAUUGUCCCCAAAAUAGAGUGUUUAAGUCACUAGAAUUCUUUACAUAGGCGCCGCCCAUCCCAUUGCCUAUGUUCACAUAGGCGCCGCCUAGGCUAUCUCUUAUAUUUAUAUAGGCGCCACCUAGGCUAUCUCCUAUGUUUACAUAGGCGCCGCCUAGGCUAUUGCCUAUGCUUUCCAGUAGCCAUGGGCGAUUGGUUAGGCGACGCAUAUCACUUUGAAAGGCCAUAACUUCUUGCUCGGGUGUCGGAUUUUAGCCAAAUUGGUAUCGUUGGAAAGAUAACUCUAAUACCCAUCAUUUGACAUAUAGUAAGCUUUCUAAUUCGACAUAUAUAGAGAGUUAUGAUCGAUGGAAGCUAACACACUUUACAACAUCCAUGAAAACUUAGUCGAUCGAAAUAGUUUCAACUCGUCCUUGAGUUGAACGACCUCUAUGGUGUUAAUUCAAGCUUGAAUGGAUUUAGAUGCUACACAAAUAAUUAACAUGCCGUAUUGACAUAGGAUUUUAUGGCUUCGGGAUUAACAAUGCAUCAAAAUCAUGGUCUACAUUAUAGCCCGAAAUGUAGGGCGUUACAAGUACUAGGAUUAGGAAGGUCUAGGCACAUACCUUGAAAGCAAUGCCUUGAAUUUAUUCUCUUGUCCUCCACAGGUAUUUUACAAGGACCUUUCCUUUCAUACAUUAAUUUGGAUGAAUAAGAUUGAUACUUUUGCCUCUUUGUAGGACUUAAUUGGGUAGGUAACUCCUUUAUUCAAUCAAUGGGGUUGGAUGCUUCACUCCUUGUCAUAAAGUAUCCAUCGACUUAUAGGAUUUUGAUUAGGUUACUCUUUUGAGUCAAGUCUUCAUUAACUUUGGAGUCCAUGAAAAAAAACUCAUCUAGGCCUUAAAACUUAUGCUUACGAGAUGUCUUAUUUGAGUCAUCCUUUGGAAGCAUUAUCUCAUUAACCUUUAAGAGAGAAGUAUUGGUACUAGGCAAAGUGCUAGUUCUAUGGUUAUCAUGUAAUAUAAUCAUAGUCUUGAAAAGUUCCCCAUCUAAGUUUCCAUGUCUCCCUCAUUCAAUUUAACCCUUGGCUCUCACAACUCUCCUUCUUGAGCGAAGUUCUCUUCCCCAUUCUUUGCUUCCUCUUUAUCUUCAUCCUUAACUUUAUUAGUUUGACCUUGGUUUAGUGGAGUUUGGGGUAGUUUAGGGAAGGUAUUUUGAGUAUGUCCACUCAAGGAAGCUUGAAUAUUUAGUGGAUAGCAAAGAGUGGAUUUAUAAAUCCUUGAUGAUCAAUGAUGUUAUACAUCCUCACACCAAGUGAAUUUAUCUUAGCAUCCAUCGAAUCAAUUUUAUGGUUGAGAGUUUCAAGGACCGCUAAAAUAGAACUUGUUGAGUGGUUAUCCAUGGGUUGCGAAGUUUCUCCUUCCGCAACCAUUGUAAAGAAAUUCUAAAAAACAAAAAAUAACAAAUAAGUUAGAGUUAAUAGAUCAACCUCACAAGCUCUAAAAGUUCACACCUUUAGUUUAUCUCCCAAUUAGCGUCGGAAAAGUCGUUAACUUUUUUAUACAACAAUGUGAUUUAUUUGUAUCAAUUGUGGCUUGAGGUCAAAAUCGAUUCUUUUUCAAAAGACUCAAGUAAAAAUUGUUGAUAGACUUGAAUCAGUAUCUAACAAUGAAUAGAAAAAGAGAAAAUCUAGUAAGAAAUAGGAUGAAGAAAGAAAAGGACUCGGGAACUAAUCAAUCAACUUAGUAGAUGAAUUACUAUUUGAUGAGUAGUUUAAGAAUCAAAAUAAGAGAUUAGGACUCAAGAAAUUGAAAAAAAAUAAUCAAACCUUGAGAAAAAUGUGUAAUUGAAAUGUUGAAUUGAGUUUGGAGACUUGAAAUUUGCAUUUGGGCCUUGAUUAGCUUUAGGAAGUGGUGAUCUGCAUUGGCCAGCCUUCUCUAGUAGGUGUUUCACAUUUCCAAGGUAGCUUGGACACAACUUAGAGGGAUAACUAUUGUUUUGAGGUGCUGCUACACGUUGGGCGCACCUCUAAUGCACAUGCAAAGCAAGUUGGCCAAAAAAAAUAGCUUGCACCAACGCAUAUACUUCCAAAUGGUCCCCCUUUUGUCCUCACCUUGGAAUCUUCUUAGAAUAUUCUUGGAUGCUUUUGGACAAACAAUUUUUCACAAUUUUCUUUCUUCCUUUUAGAUCAAAAAAUAACUUUUGAGGAAGAUUAAACUAGAAGAUUUGAAUUUCUUCAACAACACCAAGAAAAAUAACAUUUUAUCCAGAGCUCAGAAUGAGUUAAAAUUUUGAACGUAGGCACUUUUCAACCUUCAAACUCAUUCCAAAUAUCAUUUAGCUCAAAUUCUUCCCAAAAUUUUGAGAUUUUUUAAUUCACAUAAAACUUCUUCAACCCAAGCUUCCAACAAAGAUAGGACACUCAAAUAAGCUCUAUUAUUACUCAAAUUUUGUUUAUAGACUCGUUUAGUUUUAGAGAACACAAUUCUAACAUUAGAAUUAUAUGAAAACAUAAAAUCAAAAACACAAAUUUUGAUAUAGGGAUAAAGACUUGAAUAUUAAUGUUUUGGGGAUUUUUGAUUUGAUACUUCUUUUUAUUUUUCUAGAUUUUAAAUAUAAUAACCCCAAGAUUGUCUUCACACGAAUGAAAUCAAGAUCGAAUCUAAUACCAAAUAAUAUAUGAAAAAAGUACAAAAUUGAAAACUAAACUACGAUAUAAAGAUAAAAGGUAAAGAUAGAUAGAGAACAAAUAAUAGAUAGACACAAUGGAUGAAUGAAUUACAUGAAAAGGGUGUAUAAAACCCUAAACCCUCUAUUCAAUGUCAUGCAAAGCUUAGAAGUGGUUCCCUCCGUCCCUUCUUAAGUCAAGACUACUAUUAUCUCCUGGUAGACCUUAUAGGUGUGCUAUAUUUUCUAAAUAUAUAUUCCAGAGUUCUAAGAGGUUAGAUAUGUGAUUCUUUAUUCUAUAUUAAUACUUGGGAGAUGUUCUUCCUGUUCAAGUCCAAUAAUUUAUGAUAUUUCAUUUGGUUUAAGUUCGGCCAUUUAUGGUAUUUAUUCCAGUUCAAGUCUGAUGAUUUAUGCUAUUUAGUUGUGGUUAGUGUUCGGCAUUGAGAGAUUAUCUAUCAUGGCUAUGGAGCUAAUUUGACUUUGGUGAUUUCGUUAUGGAUGGAUUCACGGUUAUGAUUUUAAGAUAUGGCUAUUUGGUAUAAUUCUAUUUAUUAAUUCCCUUUUGAUUGUACCCCAUCAGUUUAUGGGGGCCUGUAUUAGGUUAUUUACUUUCCCAUACUUACUGGGUCAUAAGGGCUAGUUUUUUAUACUUAUGUUGUGAGUAAGCUCAAUCGGACGAUGAUGUAUAUUUAGUACCCAUGGCAUUGGUAAUCUUACUACACCUUUGAACCUUUUUAAUAUAGAUUCAAGUACUAUUUAUCACUGUUGAUAUCGUGAUUUGUGUUGGUUAGAGUUUGGAGGGGGUGUGCUCUUGGAGAAGGAUUUGACCUCUUCUUCUUCGUUUAUUUUUACUUAGUCUUUCUACUUUUGAGAUUUAUUUAUAUUUGACAAUUAUAGUACUUGUACGCUUUUGGUUUAGUGCCUCUGGCACCACACUACUAGGUCAUGGGAUUGUUAUAAUCGUAUUUAUCUUUCAUCUUAUUAUUGUUCCAUGAUUUGUUAUUAUAAGUAGUUUACUUUCAUAAUUCUAUCAUUUAUACCACUUUCAAAAAAAUUAUCCCAUUGCUUAGAGCAUCCGGCAACGGUUUGGCAUACCUAGUGGUGGGAUAAAGUAGGUGCCAUCAUGACCCAUAAAUCGGGUCGUGAUAGUGUGAGCUACCAUUGGGGAAAUCUUAUGCUUGCAGGUUGCGUGAUCAUAGUUUUUCCUUAUUUUAUUUUAUACCUUUCUCAGUUGGCUAUAAUACCGUCUGAAUACAAAUGGACUGUACUCACUCCUACAGUGCCCUUUAAGUGCAGUUCCUAGCAUAAGUACGACAUGUGAAGGUUGAUUUUGUGUUAUUAAGUAGGUGAUUUUGAGGUACUAGCAUGCUCUAGGCUUUCAGAGUCUACUCUAGACCUCUCAUUAUAUAUUUUAGAUAUCUUUAUUUGUUUUUAAAGACAAAUAAUUGUAUCUUUGGUAUUUUUAGGUGUAUUUAUUCGAUGGUCUGCACCUUUUACAGUAGACGUUGGGAUUAUGAUAUCUUUUAUUUAGACUUAUGCAUAUUUUUCAUAUUUGUUGACCUAACUUUAUUCUAGAAGUCUUGGCUUGACUUAUUUGUUAUUAUUUAGUAUCUUAUUUCCUCUUAGGGUGCUUGGCUUACUAUCAAGGCUAGGUCACGAUAGUGCUAACAUGACCUUGAUUUAUUUGGGUCAUAACAAAUUAGUGUCAAAGUGCUAGGUUCAUCAGUCUCAUAAGUAUAAGAAAAUGAUGUCUAGUAAAGUCUCACAGAUCGAUACAUAAAUAUCUGUAUCUAUCUUUGGGAGACUAUAAGAUUUUAUUGGAAAAACUUCUCAAAUUUGAUUCCUUGUUGUGCGGGUUAUCAUACCCAAUGUUCUAAAUUUUUAUUCCAUUCUUUUAUGCAUAUAUAGUGGGAACUAGGUCUAGGAUACAGAAAUGUUCAGCCGACAUCUGAUGUGGGAACGCAGUUAAAGCAUAAGGUAGGGGUCGUGGUUGACCCAGAGGUAGAGGACGGGCACAAAAAGCUUCCCCAGCCAGAGGAUGUGGUAGGGAGGCCACUCCUAAGCGUAAGGUUGUGCAUACCAUAGAUGAUUAUCUGAUAGGCGGUGUGAGUCUUCUUAGGUUCCAUAGAGUUCAACUGAUACCAAUGCUUCAGAAAUUUUUUAUUUUCCUUUUGAGUUGCUCAAAGGGUGUUCCAUUGAUUGUACUUGGUAUUCCUUGAUGAUGCUUAAAUUACACCCUUAAGAUGUAAGUGAUCAUCGUCUAUAUAGUAACCCAAUGGGGAUAAAAUACUCAAGGGAGUAAAUAUAAGUAUUUCAAUACUUAAAAGUGUGAGAAAUCAACUAGGAGUUAAUCCAUAAUGUAUAAUAAAGAAAUAUGAAAAUAUAAUGAUGGGGGGGGGGGUUGUUUAAUUGUCUUUAACUAUAACAUUUUUUGUUGUUUUGAGAACCCUUAAGAUGAUUCUUGGGAUGUAGGUCAGGUGCAUAUCCAGUGUUGUGUUUGUCCAAUUUUUGCCACCUGCGUGUGCAUGUUCCUCAGUCAUCCUCCAAACAAAUCAUUCUUAGGAUUUCCAUUAGAAUACUCUCAAGCAAGGUUCAAAACUACACAUAUAUAUGGGAAUUAUUCAAAAAUCUCACCAUACAACGCAUCAUACUCAUAUAGCAAAAAAUUAGUCUCUCAACCAAAUUUAGAAAUUUGAGCUUAAUAAGUUACUACGAGUCAAAGACAUCCUUGUAAAGAGAGAACAAACAUUGAAUUUAAUGGUCACACUCAAGAGAAAACUCAUACACAACCAUUUUCUUUUUCAAAACGGAGACCAUAUUUUUUGUUUUUCUAAAUAUCAUUUCAUUCCUUGAUAAUGACAUUUUUACAGAAUUUUUGAACUUUUGCCUACUCCUAAUUGACUCAAAAGACUAGGUACUUCACCAAAAUCCGUCAUGGGCAAAAUACAACUCGGUUCUACAAAGAAACUAAGAUUAAAAAAAAGGGAAAGUUUAAAAAGAAAGAAUAAAAAAUUUGGCUAGUUAGGAAAGAAUCGAGUUUUGAAGAAAACCCUUGAAGUUUAUUGGAAACGUAUAUAAAAAGAUGAUUAGAACAAUAUAUAACAACUUUGUAAGCAUCACCCAAAAUGUACCAUCAAUACCAAUGCAAUAACAAUCAGCUAUCAUAUUUAUAUUAAGCACAUGAAAUAAGCUCGACAAGGGAAAUAUCCAACAUCAUCACUAAUAUUAUCAACAAGGGUCAAAUCCGUAUCAAUGUUAAUCAAGAAGAACAAGCCCCAUAAGGGCUAAAUAAAAAUUAGCAUCAAAAUUUAAAAUCUAAAUGAACAUCAAAUGUAAUAAUAAAGUAUGUCUAUACAAUCCAUCCAACCAAUUCCAUUAAAAAAAUCAAUAGGUACUAACAAUCUAAUGUAGUAUAAGGAUUCCUCACCCCUUACUGUAAAUAAUUACAUUGUCACCAAUGGAAAAAUAAAAAGAUAUUUGGGGAAGGUAAAGACUCCCUGUGGCGCACUAGGUGCUUGGGUCCAUGUUAGUUGAUGUCCGUAUCAUCUCACAAGGAGCCGCAUAAGAUAAGGCUCCUCUAAUUGGGUCCACUACAAAAGGUUAUCUCAUCAUCAUGUCAUGAGCAAGAAUUAGCCCCAACCAUCUGUGCAUGCUUGAUGUACAUCAAAUUGACACUACUUCAAGAUAGUUUUUCACAAGAAGUUAAGCUAGGGACCUUCAUGCAUUUCAAGAUUUAUGGAUAAGGAUGGAAUCUUUAGAAGGCUCCAAUAUUGAUGAAAUGAAGAUAUUUAAUAUUCUAGGUUCCUACCAUUUAAAUUAACUGGUAAUUUAAAUGAAGGGCAAUUUGGUCUUUGUUUACUUUUUUGACCCUUAGUAUAAAUAGUUAGCUAUUAGGGUUUGAACCAUUAGUUUUUGACGAUUGGAUAUUUGUGCCUCCUUGAGAGUUUGAUAACUCUUUAUUGAUUUUCAACACUUUACUAGGAUUUUCAUGAAAGGUUCUAACUUCUUGAGGAUUCUAAUAGAUUAGGUGUUUUUAGUUCUCAAUUGACUGGUGUUUUUGUUAGUUUCACCUAAACAUCUUUCAAUUGUUUGAAUUUAAUUGUGUCUAUCUUUCUUUAACUUUUAUCUGUAAUUUGUAUCUUUCUUCUAUUUACUUGUUUCAUAUCAAAUUGGUAUCUAGAGCUUAGAUUAAAUUUGUUUUCACAAACCUGAAUUUUGGGUUUGGAUAUUUUCAAACAAACAAAAAAAAUUCAAAAACAAAAUCAAAUUUGAUUGAAUGUUGUUUGAUAUUAUUCCUUGAGUUAAAUCUUGUUAUUUUAUAGUUGAAUUUUUUUAAAAAAAAUACAUGACAAAAAAAAAAUUAAAAGUCAUGUUGAAAAAGAAACUUGAAAAUUUGUUUUGUUGAUUUGGUGCUUGGUUUAAGAAAUUGUUGGUAAAGUUGUGGGAAAGUUAUAUCUCAAAUUCGAGCUUAUUUUCAUGGGUAUUGAAGAAGAUGAAUUUGAUAAUUACAAAAUAGUUCAAUCUUCCAAACUUGUUUCUUCUUUUCUUGUUAAUUCUAACUAGUUUUACUUGAGUAUUAAUUCAUACUUAAUGUUAAAGUAGUUUUUGUCCGUUUAAUUUAUUUGUAUCAAUUUUUUACGUGCUUUUUUUCUUUCAUUUCAUUAUAUACUUAUUUAUUUCCUUUUCUGUUAGUUUUAAUUGUCCAUUCUUGAUUAUAUAAACUUUACACUUUCCCGAAGAAGUAAUACUACUUGUGAAUUAUUUGACUAUGUUGACUCUCAACCUUGGGUUAUUCAAGAGUGGUAACAUGCAAGAGUGAGGUGAGCUCAUUUGAGGAUAACCUUAGAAUUAUACACGAGUGUGAGUGACAAAAAGAGGGAAACAUGAUAUGAGUAAGUGGUGAGGAACUCUUUCUACUAAUUUUUUAUUUAUUUUGUAGGUACAAUGACUCAAUUGGAGGGAGAAUCCUCUAGAAAAAUGGAAAUUUUGCUUCUAAAGCUAUUGGAAGAAAUGAAAGAAAUGAAAGGAAAAUUAGUAGCUAUGGAUAGAAUGGUGAGAAAUCAAGAAAAAGCAAAGCAACCACUUGAGGUUUUCAAUACCAUUGGUCAACUUGAUGAGGGAUCGAUUAAGACUCCACUUGAUACAACUCCAUCCCACAUGGUAGUGCAAGAUACCCUAUAUCCUAAUUCAACAUUACCAAAAGUUUGCAAUCAAGCAACACUUCAAAAAGGGGGAAAUCAACAAAGAAAUAUUCCACCAUAAGCCAAUAGAAAUUAAAUGAGAUCCCAACAUAACCUUGAAGAGCAUGAUUUAUUUUAUGGUCAUAAUUAUGAUUAUGGAGUCAAUGAUCAAGUUCAAUAAGAAAGUUUAGGUGGGAGAUAAAGAAUAUGGGCAAAUAAAGGGUGGUAUCCGGUUGAUGGUAGAAAAUAUAAUACAAGGAAUGAUGAUGAAGAUCAAGGAUUCAACAACAUCAAUAUCAAUCUUCCAUUCUUUAAAGAAAGUAGUGACCCAAAUGUAUAUCUUUAUUGGAUUGGGAAACUUGGAAGGCAAUAUAAUCUCAAGAAAGUUAGUGAUGUUAAAAAAGGUGAAUUAGGCUAUAAAUCACCUUAAGGGUUUUACUUCUACAUGGUGGGAGAAAAUUAAAAGAGAUGCUUUGGUGAAUAGAGACUUUGUUACAAGUUGGAAUGACAUGUAAUGGUGUAUGAGAGAAAGAUUUGUGGGUUAAGAUUAUGAGCAAAAUACACUUAAGAAGUAUUAUAAUCUUCAAUAAGGAAGUAACACUGUGGAAGAGUAUUAUGAGGACCUCUAUCAUACUAGGCUUUGAGCUAAUGUCAUUGAUAAAGAGGUAAAACUUGUUGCUAGAUUUAUCUCAGGCUUAAAUAAGGAGGUAACGCAACCAUUGGAAUUGCAUCAGUAUUCUACUUUAGAUAAAGUUUAUCAAAUGGCACUUAAAGUGGAGGACGAUAAAAAGGAAAACAAGUCAAAGGUGCAAUCUUCUUCUUCUUUUUGGGAUAAAAACAAGGAUGCUUGUAAAUUAUCUCCUACCUGGAACAAAUCCAAAGGUGCAAAGCAAGAAUUGAAGUCCAACUUGGACAAAGGAAAAUCAAAGAUGGACUAAAAGGAUAGACGUAACAAGGCUAAACUUAAAACUCCAUAUAAAAUAUAGUUUUUAAAAUGUCAAUGAUAUGGUCAUAAAGCUAAGGAGUGUCCAAGUAGAAGAACUAUCAUUGCCUCUAAUGAUGGUGGUUAUCAAACUGAAGAUAAAUCUAUAGAUUACUACGUAUAGCAUAAUAUUAAUAAUGAGUUUAUGGGAGAAUGUGAUGGACAAGAAAUUAAUGAUGAUCGAAAACUUUUUCUUAUUGUGAGGAGAAGUAUGAGUGCUCUGGCGAAGGAGGAACUUGAUCAAAGGGAGAACUUGUUUCUGAAUAGGUGUAGAGUUCAAGAGCAAUUAUGCUUCUUUAUCAUUGAUAGUGGAAUUUGUGUCAAUGUUGCUAGUGUAUCUAUGGUAGAAUAAUUGAAAGUUCCAACAAGAAGGCAUCCAAAACCUUAUAGAUUGAAAUGGCUCAACGAAUGUGGUGAAAUCAAGGUGACCAAUAGAGUAUUGAUAAAAUUCAAGGUUGGAAGUUAUCAUGAUAAAGUGCUUUGUGAUGUUGUACCAAUGCAAGCUUGUCAUUUAUUGUCGGGGAGUCCAUAUGAAUAUGAUCUGGGGGAUAAACAUGAUGGAAAGUCUAAUAAAUGUGCAUUUGUUUAGGAUGGUAAAAAUCAAAUUCUUAACCCACUUUCACCUUUUCAAGUGAGUUAAAAAUAUAGAAAAAUAGGAGAGUUGAAAGAAAAACUUGAGAGAGAAAAGAAAGGGAAUAGUAAGGAAGCAAAAAAUAAUAAAUCAAGAGAGAAAAAAGGAGAGGUUGAUAGCUUAAGAACGAAUGAGUUAUCACAAAAAAAAGUGGUGAACAAGAAAAACAAAAAAAUAAGAAAAGAUAAAAUUUGCAUGAUUUUACAAAAUCAACAGAGCAUGAAAGAGCUAAACAUUGAGGAUUCUACUCAAGUCAUAUUUAUUAAACCUAAAACUUAUUCUUUACUUGCUAAUAAUGAACUAACCUUUUUAUCUUUGCAGAGUCUUCUCUUAUUUGUUGCAGGAUUAUGAGGGUCUAUUUUUGGAAGAAUACCAAGUGGGUUUCCGCAUUUGAGAGGAACAGAGCAUGAAAUUGACUUUAUGAUGGGUUCUCAAAUACCCAACAAAGGAACUUAUAGGAGAAAUUCUCAAAAUAUCAAUGAAUUUUAAAGACAAGUGGAAGAAUUCUUGAAUAAUGGUUUGGUGAGAGAAAGCAUAAGUCCACGUUGGUUACUGUAAUUCUAUUACCCAAGAAGGAUAGAUCAUGGAGGAUGUGUGCAGAUUGUCGUACUAUCUAUAAAAUUAUGGUAAAAUAUCGAUAUCCUAUUCCUAGACUUGAUGAAAGCUAGAUGAAUUGUGUGGUUCUACCUUAUUUAAAAAAUUUAUUUGAGAAGUGAAUACCAUCAAAUUUGAAUGAAAUCCAAAGAUUAACGGAAAACCUCUUUCAAAACUAAGCUUAGAUUAUAUGAGUGGAUGGUGAUGCCUUUUGGGCUAACCAAUGCAACAAGAACUUUUAGGCAAUUAAUGAACCAUAUGCUUAAGUCAUUUAUUAAUAAUUUUGUUGUGGUUUAUUUUGAUGAUAUUUUUGUUUAUAGAAAGUGUUUGGAUAAUCUUGUGCAAUAUUUGAGAAUGAUAUUUGAUGUGUUGAGAAAUGAAAUAUUGUAUGUAAAUUUUAAAAAGUGUUCUUUUUGUAUGGACAGUGUUGUUUUCCUUGGGUUCAUUAUGAGUUAAGGUGGAGUUGAGGUGGAUGAUGAAAAAAUAGAUGCUAUUAGAAGUUGGCUAACUCUUAAGUCCAUUAGUGAGGUUAGAAGCUUUUACAGAUUGACAAGAUUUUAUAUAAGGUUUGUGAAAGGUUUUAGUUCUUUAGUCGCUCCUCUAACAGAGGUCAUUAACAAGGAUAAGCCUUUUAUUUGGGGUAGAAAACAAGAGGAAGCCUUUAGAAUAUUGAAGAUAAACUUAGUUCUACUCCAUCACUUCAACUUCCCCACUUUGUUAAGAUAUUUAAAAGUGAGUGUGAUGCUAGUGGAUUAGGCAUUGGUGCGGUCUUAAUGCAAUAAGGGAAACCUAUAGCAUACUUUAAUGAGAAAUUAUGAGGAGCUCUAUUGCAAUACUCUACCUAUGACAAGGAGCUUUAUGCCCAAAUGAGAGCUUUAGCGAAUUGGAAACAUUAUUUAUGGCAUAAGGAGUUUAUGAUUAGAACUGAUCAUGAGGCUUUGAAGCAUAUUAGCGCCAAAAUAAGCUGAAUAAUAGACAUGGCAAGUGGAUAGAGUUCAUUGAGUUUUUUCCAUAUUUGAUUAAUUAUAAGCAAGGUAAAGAGAAUAUUGUGGCGGAUGCUUUAUCUAGAAGAUAUGCAUUGAUGAUGACUUCUAGGUUGAUGGGUUUUGAGAGUUUGAAGGAGUUAUAUUCUAAUGAUGAUGAUUUUGGAAAAUUCCUUGGAGUGUGUCAAGUGUGCUUGAAUAGGGGUGUGCAAGUUGUUAAGGAAAGAAAUAAAGUUAGAACUCCUAAGUUUGAAUUGAAGGAGGGCUACUUGUUUAGAAAUGGAAAACUAUGUGUGCCCAUGUAUUCAUGGAGAGAGUUAUUGGUGUAAGAGGCACGCAAUGGAGGUUUUAUGGGUUAUUUUGGAGUGUCAAAAACCUUAGCUAUUCUUAGUGAGCAUUUAUUUUGGCCUAAAAUAAUAAGAGAUGUCGAAAAAAUUUGUGCUAGGUGUUUGUAUUGUAAGAAUGCUAAAUAUUGUACCCAACCCCAUAGCUUGUAUAUUCCUUUGCCUAUUCCUAUCGAACCUUUGCUAGAUAUUUCCAUGGAUUUGGUUGUUGGCCUCCCAAGGACUACGAAGGGUAAGGAUAGAAACUUUGUUAUUGUGGAUAGAUUUUCAAAAAUGGCACAAUUUAUUGCUUGUCAUAAAAGUAAUGAUACGUUUCAUAUUUCUACUUUAUUUAUUCAUAAUGUGAUAAAAUUGCAUGGUUUUCCCCAAAUAAUUGUUAGCGAUAGAGAUUCAAAUUUCUUAGUUAUUUUUGUAGGUGCUUGUGGGGAAAUUUGGGAACCAAAUCGCUAUUUUCUACUUCUUGUCAUCCUCAAAUGGAUGGUCAAACUGAGGUGGUUAAUAGAAAUUUAGGUAACAUGCAUAGAGCUAUGGUUAAAGGAAAGUUUACUUCUUGGGAGGAUCAAAUACGAUUAAUUGAGCUUGCAUAUAAUAGAACUAUUCAUAGAUCUAUUGGUAUAACCCCGUUUGAGUGUGUUUAUGGCUUUAAUCCCUUGAUUCCAUUGGAUUUAACUCCUUGCCCAAAGAUAUUAUUGUGAGUGUAGAUGCAAAAGUUAAGGAAAAAGAUAUGAAGAGCAUACAUGAGAAACUAAGAUUGCAAAUUGAGAAGGCCAACAAAGAUUAAACCAAAAGAGCUAACAAAGGAUGAAAAAGUUACUUUUGUACCCGGCGAUUGGGUAUGCGUUCAGUUUUAUAAAGAAAGGUUUUCAAGAAAAAUGAAGAACAAGCUUAUACCAAGAAGAGAUAGACCUUUUCAAGUGCUUGAGAAGAUUGGAGAUAAUGCUUAGAAAGUAGACUUACCAAGUGAGUAUUUGGUCCAUAAUAUUUUUCAAUGUUAGUGAUUUAUCUCCUUUUGAUAUAGGAUUGUCCAAUUUGAGGAUGAAUUCUUUUGAAGAAGAGGAGAGUGAUGUACAUCAAAGUGACACUACUUCAAGAAAGCCUUUCACAAGAAGUCAAGCUAAGGACCUUCAAGCAUUUCAAGCUUUAUGCAUGAAAAUGGAAUCUUUGGAAGGCUCUAAUAUGGAUGACAUGAAGAUAUAUAAUAUUCUAAGUGUCUACCAUUUAAAUUAACUUGUAAUUUAAAUGAAGGACAAUUUGGUCUUUCUUUACUUCUUUUAACCCUUAAUGUAAAUAGUUAGCUAUUAGGGUUUGAACCAUAAGUUUUUGAAGAUUGGAUAGUUGUGCCUCCUUGAGAGCUUGACAACUCUUUGUUGAUUUUCAACACUUUCAUAAUUUGCAAGUAAGAUUCUACCUUCUUGAGGAUUCUAAUAGAUUAGGUGCUUUUAGUUCCUAAUUGAGUGGUAUUUUUGUUAGUUUCAUCAUUACAUCUUUCAAUUGUUUGAAUCUAAUUGUGUCUAUCUUUCUUUAACUUUUAUCUUCAACUUGUAUCUUUCUUCUAUUUUUCUGUUUCACAUCAAAUUGUUAUCAAGAGCAUGGAUUAGAUUUGUUUUCACAAAGCUAAAUCUUGGGUUUGGAUAUUUUCAAACAAACAAAAAAUAAAUAAAUUUGAUUGAAUGUUGUUUGAUAUUAUUCCUUGAGUUACAUGUUGUUGUUCUCUAGUUGAAAAUUUUUUAAAAAAAAUACAUGACAAAAAAAAUUAAAAGUCAUAUUGAAUAAGAAACUUGAAAAAUAUGUUUUCUUGAUUUUGUGUUUGGUUGAAGAAAUUGUUGAUUAGAAGUUAUUGGUAAAGUUGUUGGGAAGUUAUAUCUCAAAUUUGAGCUCAUUUUCUUGGGUAUUGAAGAAUAUGAAUUUGAUAAUUACAAAAUAGUUCAAUCUUUCAAACUUUUUUCUUCUUUUCUUGUUAAUUCUAGCUAGUUUGCUUUGAGUAGUAAUUCAUACUUAAUGUUAAACUAGUUUUUGUUUGUUUAAUUUAUUCGUGUCAAUUUUUACAUGCUUUUUUCUUUCAUUUCAUUGUAUUCUUAUUUGUUUCCUUCGUCCCUUAGUUUUAAUUGUCCAUUUUUUAUUACAUAAACUUCGCACUAUCCCAAAGAAAUAAUACUACUCAUGAAUUAUUUGACGGUGUGGACUCUCAACCAUUAGUUAUUCAAGAGUGCUAACAAGCAAGAGAGAGGUGAGUUCAUUUGAGGGUGGCAUCAGAAUGAUACACGAGUGUGAGUGACAAAAAGAGGGAAACAUGAUGUGAGUGGGUGGUGAGAAACUCUUUCUACUAUCUUUUUAUUUAUUUUGUAGGUACAAUGACUCAAUUGGUGGGAGAUUCCUUUAGAAAAAUAAUUUUUUUUUUCAAAAGCUAUUGGAGAAAAUGAAGGGAAAAUUACAAGAUGUGGAUAGCAUGGUGAGAAAUCAAGAAAUAGCAAAUCAACGACUUGAGGUUUUCAAUCCCAUUGGUCAACAUGAUGAGGGAUCGAGUAAGACUCCUCUUUAUACAACUCUAUCCCACAUGGUAGUGCAAUAUACCCUCUUUUCUAUUGCCAUUUUACAAAAAGUUUGAAAUUAAGCAGCACUUCCAAAGGGGGGAAAUCAACAAAGAAAUAUUCCACCACAAGCCAAUCUAACUAAAAUGAGAGCCCAACAUAACCUUAAAGAGCAUGAUUCUUCUGAUAGUGAUAAUUAUGAUUAUGGAGUCAAUGAUCAAGUUCAGCAAGAAAGGCUAGGUGGGAGAGGAAAAACAGGGGCAAAUAGAGGGUGGUAUCCGAUUGAUGGUAGAGAAUACAAUAGAAGGAAUGAAGAUGAAGAUCGAGGAUUCAACAACAUCAAUAUCAAUCUUCCAUUCUUCAAAGAAAGUAGUGACCCGAAUGAAUACCUGGAUUGGAUUAUGAAACUUGCAAGGCAAUAUAAUCUCAAGAAUGUUAGUGAUGUUAAAAAGGUGAAUUAUGCUAUAAGUCACCUUGAGGUUUUUGCUUCUACAUCGUGGGAGAAAAUUGAAAAGAUGCUUUGGUGAAUAAAGACUUUGUUACAAGUUGGAAUGACAUGAAAAGGCAUAUAAGAGAAAGGUUUGUGGGUUAAUAUUAUGAGCAAAAUACACUCAAGAAGUAUAACAAUCUUCAACAAGGAAGUAAGAGUAUGAAAGAGUAUUAUGAGGACCUAGAUCAUACUAGGCUUUGAUCUAAUGUCAAUAAUGAAGAUGUGAAACUUGUGGCUAGAUUUAUCUCAGGCUUAAAUAAGGAGGUAAGGCAACUAUUGGAAUUGCAUCAUUUUUCUGCUUUAUAUGAAACUUAUCAAAUGGCACUUAAGGUGGAGGGCUAUAAAAAGGAAAACAAAUGAAAGGUGCAAUCUUCUUCUUCUUUAUAGGCUAAAAAUAAGGAAGCUUGGAAAUUAUCUCCCGCUUUGAACAAAUCCAAAGGUGCAAAGAAAGAAUUAAAGUCCAACUUGGACAAAGACAAAUCAAAGAUAGACAACAAGGAUGGAGGUAACAAAGCUAAACUUUAAACUCCAUCUAAAAUAUAGUUUUUUAAAUGUCAAGGAUAUAGUCAUAAAUCAAAUGAGUGUCCAAAUAAAAGAACUAAUAUUGCAUUGAAUGGUGGUGGUAAUCAAAUUAAAGAUGAAUACAUGUAGGAUAAUAGUAGUGAUGAGUUUAUGGGAUAAGGUGAUGGAGAAGAAAUUAAUGAUGAUGGAAAACUUGUUCUUGUUGUGAGGAGACGUAUGAGUACUCUAGCGAGGGAGGAUCUCGAUCAAAGGGAGAACUUGUUUAAGAAUUGGUGUAGAGUUCAAGAGAAAUUAUGUUUCUUUAUCAUUGAUAUUGGAAAUUAUGUGAAUGUUGCUACUGUAUCUAUGGUAGAACAAUUGAAACUUCCAAUAAGAAGGCAUCCAAAACCUUAUAGAUUUCAAUGGAUCAACGAAUGUUGUUAACUUAAGGUGACUAAGCGAGUUUUUAUAAAAUUCAAGGUUGGAUGUUAUCAUGAGGAAGUGCUUUGUGAUGUUGUCCCAAUACAAACUUUUUAUUUAUUGUUAGGGAGGCCAUGGGAAUAUGAUGUGGGGGGUAAACAUGAUGGGAAUUCAAAUAAAUAUGCAUUUGUUAAGGAUGGUAAAAAUCAAAUUCUUAACCUACUUUCUCCUUUUCAAGUGAGUGAGAAAUAUAUAACAAUAGGAGAGUUGAUAGAAAAACUUGAGAGAGAAAAGAAAGAGAAGAAUAAGGGAGCAAAAAAUGAUAACUUAAGAGAGGAAAAAGGAGUGGUUGAGAGCUCAAGUGAGAAUGAGUUAUUACCAAAAAAAAAGAGGUGAUCAAGAAAAAAACAUAGAUAAAAAAAUGAUAAAAUGUGCAUGAUUUUGCAAAAUCAAGAGAGCAUGAAAGAGAUAAACAUUAAGGAUGCUACUCAAGUCAUAUUUUUUAAACUGAAAAGUUAUUAUUUACUUUCAAAUAAUGAACUAAACUCUUUAUCUUUGCCAAUUUUUGUCUCUUAGUUGUUGUAAGAUUAUGAAGAAUUAUUUCCAAAAGAAAUACCAAGUGGGUUGCCGCCCUUGAGAGAAAUAGAGUAUGAUAUUGACAUUUUGUCAGGUUCUCAAAUAUCCAACAAAGCAACUUAUAAGAUAAAUCCUCAAGAUACCAAAUAAUUACAAAGACAAGUGGGAGAAAUUGUGAAUAAAGGUUUGGUGAGAGAAUGUGUAAAUCCAUAUGCAGUGCUUGUAAUUCUAGUACCCAACAAGGAUGGGACAUAGAGGAUGUGUGUACAUUGCCGUGCUAUUAAUAAAAUUAUGGUAAAAUAUCGAUGUCCCAUUCCUAUACUUGAUCAUAUUCUAGAUAAAUUAUUUAGUUCUACCUUAUUUUAUAAAAUUGAUUUGAGAAGCGAUACCAUCAAAUUCGGAGAUAAAUGGAAAAGCGCUUUCAAAACUAAGUUUGGAUUAUAUGAGUGGAUGGUGAUGCCUUUUGGGAUAAGCAAUGAACCAAACACUUUUAUUCAAUUAAUGAACCAUGAACUUAAGUCAUUUAUUAAUAAUUUUAUUGUGGUUUAGUUUGAUGAUAUUUUGGUUUAUAGCGAGAGUUUGGAUAAUCAUAUGUAACAUUUGAGAAUGAUAUUUGAUGUGUUAAGAAAUGAAAAAUUGUAUGUGAAUUUUAAAAAGUGUUUUUUUUGUGUGGACCAUGUUGUUUUCCUUGGCUUCAUUGUAAGUUCAAUAGGAGUUGAGGUGGAUGAAGAAAAGGUAGAGGCUAUUAAAAGUUGGCCAACUCCUAAGUCCAUUAGUGAUGUUCGAAGCUUUCAUGGGUUUGCAAGCUUUUAUAGGAGAUUUGUGAAGGUUUUAGUUACUUAGCCAUUCUUUUAACUGAGGUCAUUAACAAGGAUAAGUCAUUCAUUUGGGGUAGAAAACAAGAGAAAGCCUUUAGAAUCUUGAAAGAGAAACUUAGUUCCACUCUUUUACUUCAACUUCCCAACAUUGAGAAGUUAUUUUAAAUUGAGUGUAUUUCUAGUGGAGUAGGCAUUGGUGCAGUCUAAAUACAAGAAGGGAAACCCAUAGCAUACUUUAGUGAGAAAUUAAGAGGAGCUCCAUUGCAAUACUCUACCUAUGACAAGGAACUCUAUGCCCUAGUGAGAGCUUUAGCAAAUUGGCAACAUUAUUUGUCGUAUAAGGAGUUUGUGAUUAGAACUGAUUAUGAGGAUUUGAAGAAUAUUAGGGUCCAAAAUAUGCUUAAUCAAAGACAUGCCAAGUGGCUAGAGUUCAUUGAGUCUUUUCCAAAUGUGAUAAAUUAAAAGCAAGUUAAAUAGAAUAUUAUGGUGGAUAGUUUAUGUAGAAGAUAUACAAUGAUGAAUACCCUAACUUCUACAUUCAUGGGUUUUGAGAGUUUAAAGGAGUUGCUGAUUUUGGAAAAUUCUUUGGAGAGUGUCAAGUGAGAUUGAAUGGGUGUGUGCAAGUUGUUUAGAAGGGAAAUAAAGUUAGAAUUAUGUGUCCAUGUCUUUAUGGAGAGAGUUAUUGGUGAAAGAGGCACAAAAUGGAGGUUGAUAGGUCAUUUUGGAGUGUCAAAAAACUUAGCUAUUCUUAGUGAACAAUUUUUUGGCUUAGAAUGAUAAGAGGUUGUAAUAACCCUUCAAUUCAUUUUCCAUAUUUAUGCUUAUAACCAUUUGAGCUUAUCCGUAGCUUCCUAAGUCAUUUAUGACUUCCUAGGACUGACGGUUCAAUUAACGGGUAGUUCGUGUGGUUUUUAGAGCCCUGUUUAAAAGUCUUUGCUAGUUCCAAAUGGCCACCGAGCAAAAAAUUCAGCGAAAUAAUCUUGAAUGAAAAUUUUGAUGGCUCCAGCAGAUCCAAAAUAUUGAUUUUAAUCUAGGAAGACCUUUGUUUUGGGUCCCACUUUACCCGAGCUCAUUUCGACCUAUUGGCCAGAAAGUUAAAAAUUAGAAGGAAUGAGUGUGGGACCCAUAUUUGAUUAAAAUGACCUCGAAUGGAAAAUUCAGCUUCUCCAUCGCGUUUAAAAUAUUGAAUUUAGGCUAGGGAGUUCCUUGUUUCAGGUCCCAAGGCUCCCAAACUUAUUUUGGGCUAUUGAGAGAAAUUUAUGAAAAAUGAUGAAAGUGUAGGUGUGGGCUCCACUUUUCAGCCAAAACAAUCUCAAAUAAAAGUUUUCAAUAUUGCAAUGGAUUUGAAAUGUUGUUUACACUCAAAAUUCGUUAUUGGAUCAUGUUAUAUGGAUUUUGGAUUAGUUUGGAGGGUCAAAAACUUAAAAAUGAGUUUGCUGUCAUCUGGUGCAACCGCGAUUGCUACCAAGAUUGUGCGAUCACAGCCCGUAUGACCGCGAUAGUGGCAUCUGUGAACCUGUAGGGGCUACAUAAAGGUCCCCAGACAUGUUUGGUCCAUUUUUCCUUUACCAUUUAGACGUAGAAGCCCCAAAAUAAGGGUAAUAACUCAAAAUUGGUCAUGGGGGGUGACUGCCGCCGAAUUAUCUUCUUGUAUCAUUAUUAUAUUUAUAAUUAAUGAAAGAGUUCCUUGAAUUCAUGCUUGAAUUUCUUAGUUUGGACCCCAAAGUCCAAUUUAGCUUAGGGUUUGAUUUUAGGUUAAUGUAUGCUUAGUUUACACCCAUUCUUUGAGGGUUAUGAUUCCCUAUUCAUGUGUGAACAUUGGGUUGGUCUCAGAAAAUCAUUUUCCAUAUGUGGGACCAAUGUGGGGUUUUGGUGUUAUUUUGGGACCCAAAUCAUAACAGUACAAUAUGUUUUUCAUUAGACUGGUAUUGAUAAGUAGAUUAUGAAUUUGUUAGUAGGAUGUCCUUUUGAGGAUUGUAAUGUGAAAACAAGCGUAUGGUGCCUGAUUUGGGAUUUUUUAGUUCGGCUUUGAGGUAGGCUUCUGUCUACUCUUCUUCAUGGAUGAUGUAUGAUAUAUAUUGCGUGUGAAUGUGAAUGUUAAGAUUGAUAUUGGAUAGAAUGACUUAGUAUUGAAUAUACAUAUCAGUUUGGGGAUUAGAUAGGGUUGUUGACCCAUUGGUUCAAUUUCUUAAUACCCUUGCAGAAUCCUAUUGCCUUCUCACUAUUUUGGGUAAAUUUGUAGCAUGGAUAUAAUAUAAUUCUAUGCUUGGAAUAUGGUUUUAGCAUUUGAAGCAUAAUUUGUAUAUUUAGCCUUAAUGGGCUAGUGUGAUAGUUUUUGAGCAGUGAGUUUGGUAGAGUUAACUUGAGUACCAUUGUUUCUAGUUAAAGUUGCUAUAUUAUGCUUGAAUAUGGCUUACUUGAUAUCUAGAAAAAGAACUAGAUACCGUAUCCUAGUUUGGGACAUAGUAUGCCUCAUUAUGAAAAUUGUGGAUUAGAAGUGAGAUCGUUCAGCCCACUUAGGCCAAAGUUUUAUUAAGUCUGGUGGACUUAGUUGCUGAUGUUAGACAUAAAUGAGCUAGUAAACCUUACAAUAAGGUUAUUUCAUAACUUGGUGACUUGUAUUGAUGUUCUCAGAUUGUGACUUUUGUGCUAUGGUUAUGAUACUUCUUGUGGAAGUGAUAUUGGGCUUUUAGAGAUGAUAUCACCUCUAAAUAUGUUAUUUGGCUGAUAGAGAUGCUAUUUUCUCUUAGACUUGAUGAUUGGCCUAUAGAGUUUCUAUUUCCUUUAGUCGUGAUUAUUGGACUUAUAGAGACGAUGUUCCUCUUAGAUAUGUAAAUUGGCCUAGAGAAGUGACAUUCUUCGUAGUCAGGAUGUAUGACCUUUUGAUAUAUGAUAUCCCAUAGAUGAUUACAUGUCUAUAUAUAUUAUGCCUCCUAUAUGUGAGAUACCUAUUAUGUGAGAGAUGAUUACAUACUUAUUGAUAUUAUGCCUCCUAUAUGGAGAUGAUUAGAGAUAUACUACGGCUUAUAAAUAUGAUUAUUGAUAUGAUUCUCGGAUAUGUGUAUGGAUCUAAGGACGUGAUUAUGAUGUUGUGAAUAUUUUGAUAAUCUAAUGAGACAACGGUAGUGUUAUGAUAUUGAUUGAAUAGCUGAAAAAUAUUUAUCAUUAUAAGUAAUAUGAUUACAGUUUAUGAAUAUGAGUAUGUAUAAGUGUAUGUUUGUAUACAUAUCCACUACUAGAAAAGUGGGCUAUGGUAACGAUAGUUUAGGCAACGGUUAUAUAACCGUCACUAUAGACUAUCUAUGGUGAUGAUUAUAACCGUUGCAAUACGUAACCCUGUCUAAUAGGACAUAUAACUAAAAUAAUAGUCGCAUAUUUAUUGGAACCAUCCUAAUAAAUUGACCUAAAGUAACAAUUAGUAGAACUGUCGCUACAGGUCACCUAUAGCUACGAUUAAUAUUGUACAAAAACUACAAGGCCUCGUAUUUUUUCCUUUACAUAUUCAUUACACCCACUUAAAAUUAAGUAAUCACUUAAAAAAUAAAAGAGGAAUGAUAAAAGUUAAAGGUUAGGGUUAUUAGAAGCUAUUGUCUUUUGCUAAAAAGAAAAGCAACUAUCGUUUUGAUUUUCUUCUUCUUACAGCCUGGUUGGAUGGUGGUUUCCCAUGGUAUGGUAUGGUAUGCUUACCAUGGGAACCAUGUUUGUUUCCAUGAUUUUCUAAAAAUGGUGGUAUGGUAUGUUACUAUUCCAUGGUUUGAUAACCAUGGAAUGAAGCAAUUUAUUGAACCACCAAAUUGGUGGUGUGCCAUGGUUUUCAUUUUUCUUCUCCAAUAAUACCCUUAUAUAAUUUUCUUUAAUUCUAUUUUAUCCUUAUCAACAAAAUACAUGCUUAGACUACGCAUUUGUUAACAAGAUCGAAGAUUGCAAGACAUCCUGUUAGCAAUAUAAAAAUUCAAAGAGUGAGAAAAAUGAUCACAAUUAUUUAGUAGUAUUAGUUUUUAAUGUCAAUAAAAACUCAAUUCGAUAAAAGAAAAAUUGAAAAUUGAAAUGGAGGGAAACAGAGUGAAUGCAUAAAAACCAUAUACAUGGGAAGUGAUUUUGAACUCUAAGAUACAUACAUGUAUGACAAUUGUUUUAUUGAUUGGGAAGUACUUACCGAUUGCAUUAUUUUGCGUUCGUCAAACCUUUGUUUAGAAAAUACCUUUGUAAAUUUGGCAUCUUAAAAGAAUCAUCGGGUAGCUAUGAGAAGUAUCAAGAAAGAAAGGACAACUAGUUAUGCUAGCACUGAUAUGGAUAAUGGAUAAAAGAGUUGAUAUCUCAAAUGUAUUACAACUAGGGGCAUUUUAGUAAAUUUAUCUAUUACCAUACCGUACCAUACCAUCAAACCAAACAAAAAAUUUAUUAUUAAACCACAGGAAAUAAUACAGUCCAUCUAAACAUGUUACUAUACCAUACCAUACUAUACCAUACCAUACAUUAUGACACCAUGGCAAACCACCUGUUAGGGUUUCAUUCUCCCUUUUUUGCGGCUAAAAUUUGUAGCAGAAUUCAGCAAGAUUAAGAGUUCUCUUACAAUUAUUCUGGGAUAAGAUAUGUAAGUAACCCGUUUCUUUUUCACCUUUUUUCCUUUGUCUGACCUCUGGGAUAAAAUUGGAAGUUUAUGAUUGUUCGCGGAUAAAAUUAGAAGUAGAAUAAGAGGGUUCCCUUGGGAUUGUUCAGGGAUAUAGAGUUGUAAGUAACGAAAAUGGGAUUUAAGGUUCACUGAGUUAAUUUGUCACCCAAGUAGCGUUGUAAGUAACAAAAAUAGUGGAAAAACCUCUUUUCCGCCAUUUUAUGCAUAGAGUUAAGGUCUAUUUUCCCAAAAUAUUAUGUUGAUUUUGAUUUUAUAAUAUUUUUGGUGCUUUACAAUGUAAGGUGUUCCUCGAUCAACUUCUACAUUUCUUACUCGAUCGACUUCUACUUUUCAAAUAAAGUUUACUUUUUCAUUUAAAGGUGUUCUCAGGUAGGUGUUCUUACUGUGAAAGUAGUUAUUUUUGUGGGUUUUGUUUUGUAAAUCUUGACAUUGUUCUAUGUAAGAAUGAAUGGAUAUACUAUCUAUUUUUUUGAUAAUGUAUACACUUUAAUUCCUGAAUAUGAGAAAUUGCGUUGCUGUAUUUUUUCGGAAAAAAUUUGAUUGGAUUUUGUGGUAUGUAACUAUUAGAUGUCUGUAACAUUGAAAAACUUUGUUAAAACAUUGUGGUGAUUGGUACCGUGAUUAAAAUAAUCUAUGUUGAAAGUUCUUAGGGAUUUAUGUGUACUGCAUUAUACGAAGUUUGAAUUCACUACAUUGUAGUGGGAAGUUUACGAUGCAACCAAUAUACUUCAGAAUUCAAUUGAAUGACUACAACAAUGGCUGAGUAAUCUCGUUCCCUAGACAAAUAGACAUCUGCAGAGUGAGCUACUGACUAUAUAACAUCUUGUAUGACCAUUUGCUCAUCAGGAUAGAAAAAUUCACCUUUUUAUUUUAGCGUAGAACACGGAAGAUGACACAAACUAAAACAUGGAAAUUAAGCUUGUUUAUCACUUAAAUUAAAUGAAGAACCUAGUUCAGCAGUGUAUGACUGUUCUGGCUUAGGUUCUGUUGUAUCUUUCCUCUAACGUAGAUUCCAUUAUGGAUGCAAUAUGAUUUCUUGUUCGUUGUGUUGUGUGAUGUCUAUGAUUUCAGUUUGAUAGUUUUUAGUAUUAUCUUGUAGUUGUAGUAUUAUCUUGUGGCUAGCAGUGUUAGUUUAUUUUUAAUACUGUACUUGUUAUAUUAUUAUCGGUCCUAAAUCGGGGGUCUAUCGGAAACAACCUCUCUACUUCACCUGAGGUAGCGGUAUGAUUUGCGUACACUCUACCCUCCCGAAACCCCACUAUGUGGGAAUGCACUGGGUCUAUUGUUGUUGUUUGUUCUUUAUUAAAUAUAAGUUACACAAAUUAUUUCCCAUACCUAAUGAUACUUUUUGUAUGUUGAUACUGAAUUUAUUUAUUUUUUUCUUCGAUAUUUAAAAUGAGUAACAUGGGCUAUUUAAUUGGUGUGUGAUCCAUCUGGAGUGGUAGUGGAAACAACAAUCAUGGAACUUGUUACAGCUUUAGUAAACUGGGGCAAGGAAUUAGAUCAUUUGCUAUAAGUUUUAUUGUCUUAUGCUUUGGGUUCUGCUCAGGUAUUGAUUCUGCAUUUACUUAGUUCUCACAGAAGUAGUGACUUGCCAUAAACAUGGAUCUGAUACAUUGUCACUUUUCCCAGCAGUGUCAGCCUCUUUCAAGGGUUAAAGGUUCUAUUGAGUCACAUCUUCGUGCAUUAGGAUAGAGAGAAUGGUGGAACAUAGAUGUUCUGCUGUGCUUACUAAUAGAGUUGUUUCCAUUUGUGCGCAAGAAAGCUAUUGAUACCCAUCCAUUCCCAUUGGUUUCGGAUGAUGAAAGACUAGUCUUUUCUACUUCAGUGCUUGAAUAGUAUGCUGGGUAAAAUCCCUUUUACCAUUUCUUACUUACCUUUCUAUUCUUAUUCAAAGGUGAUCGCACGAUGUAUGGUUAAUACUGUUCUACUUCAGUGCUUAUGGUUAGUACUAUUCUACUUCAGUGCUUGAACAGUAUGCUGGACAAAAUCCCCUUUUACCGUUUCUUACUUACCUUUCUAUUCUUCUUCAAAAGUGAUCUUACAAUGUAUAGUUAAUACUUACUAUAUAUUUGAAUUGUCUAUGCAGAGGAAACAUGUAGUGGCCUUCUUUUGAGUGGUUGUAUAUAGAAUGCUUUUCAACAUUGAUUGAACUAGCCUCUGUAUUACCCCAGAAGGAAGAUAACCUAAGGAAUCAAAUUACAGUGGCAUCAUAAAUUGUUUCACUUAAGUUUUGGUGGUUAGGAUUGAAAAUUCCUCCUUCUUUCCAGAUUCAUCUUUAAUUUGCAUGGCAGUUUUUAUUGGCAGUUUCAGAUCUAUUGGGGGAACCUUGCCAGAAACACAUCAUGCUCCCAAAACAGCAGUAGUUGAAAGACCUGUGGCUAUUUUUGUCUUGCCUCUUCUGCUGGCAGGUGUUUUAGGAUCUCCUAGAAAGCAUGAACUACUGACAGAGUCUUGAGAAAUCUCUUAAUUCAAACUUCCGGACAAGAGAGUCAGACAGUGAAGCACGAGAUUUUCUGUUCUGUUUGCUUUCUUUGGUUUGUACUUCUUUAGUAAGGGCAUUGCAGUUUUGCAACUGAACUCUUUGAAUGAUGGCUGACUAUAUUUUUCUGCACCACUUUUGAUGAACAUCGCAAUCUAAUUUUUAACAUCCUCUGGGAAAUGGUUGUGAGUUUUGAUAUAAACAUGAAGGCAACAACUGCCAAUCUUUUCAAAAUCAUUGUAAGACUUUUUUUAUGUGG
This 79450-nucleotide long non-coding RNA is filed under the name Capsicum annuum. Its description in RNAcentral is "long non-coding RNA (CANN_LNC019062)". Lineage: Eukaryota; Viridiplantae; Streptophyta; Magnoliopsida; Solanales; Solanaceae. The record is from RNAcentral.